UUCCAAUGCAGAUGCAACAUCUAUCAUUAUGUUCAACCUUUGUAGGAUAUCCAAAUAUUGGGUGUUGGAAUACAACCAUUUAUCAAGACUCCCAUUAGGCAUGAACUCAAGCACCAACGCUUUGAAAUUAAGAUCAUUAGAGCAACUACUUAUUACUUUGACUAAAUUUCUGUGACGAGUGUUGCGGAGAACAUCACAUUCAACAUCAAAGCUCUUAAAAGCUCUUUCUAACUCUAACUUGAAGACCUUUACCGCGAUGAUCGUCCCAUCCCGGAGAAUCCCUUGGAAUACUGAACCAUAACUUCCAUUACCAAGCAACCUACUAUCUUUGAAUCUAUCAUUAGCUUGUCGAAGCUCGUGGUAUGAAAACCGUCUCCACGUUCCUAAAGGUAUCAUGUCUUCUUGAGUUGGCAAUUUGUCUUUCCUCCUCCUAUUAUGCAAGAUAAUGAUUAUCAGAGCCACAACCAAAAUUGUGGAGGCAGUUGGCAGAGCUACAUAUAUUAUGAGUUUCAGCUUAGUUUUUGCCUUGGAAUUUCUAAGAGGUCUAGUUUUGCAGUUUGGAACAUGAAGUCGAGUUGCACCACACAAGGCUUCAUUCCCCUUAAAUGAUUCGAUUGUGUAGUUUCCAAAUGAUCCUCCAGGAAUUUCUCCUUCAAGUCUAUUAAAAGAGACAUUGAAAUAUUUGAGAUAACGGAGUUUCUCUAAGGAUUUGGGAAUCUCUCCAGAUAGAUUAUUUCUUGACAAGUCCAAGAAUUCCAAACUCAAUAAUUCAUCAAAAGACUCAGGAAUAGAACCCAUGAUUUUAUUAUUGGAUAAGGAAAAAUGAGUGAGGUCCUUGAGAUCUGUAACUCCAGUUGGGAUAUCACCUGAGAACUGAUUGUUCGACAAAUCCAAACUAGUCAAAACUUUCCAUUUUCCAGUGUCAAUUGGCAGUGGACCACUUAGAGAAUUUGAAGACAAGUAUAGGAUGAGGAGAUUGUUAAGCCUUGUCAACGUGGAAGGUAUUGAGGAGGAGAACAUAUUGGAGUCGAGAAAUAGUUUCCUUAAUGAAGCAAGAUCACCUAGGCAAGCAGGUAUUGGUCCAGACAAUUUGUUACUGGUCAAGAACAAGAAAGCCAAUUUGUUUAGAUGACAUAACUCAGAUGGGAUGGAUCCUUCCAACUUAUUGUUUUCAAGAGAAAGACUUUGCAAGUCUUCCAAUACACCAAUUGUAGUAGGAAUCUGUCCUAUCAAUUUAUUGCCUCCGAGCUCAAUGUUUAUCAAGUGGCUUAAGUUUCCAAUUUCACUGGGGAUGCUACCUCUGAUGUUGCAUGAAUAAGCAGAGAACCGUUCAAGAGAACUUGAGAGAUUUCCUACCAGUCUUGGAAGUUCACCACUAAUAAGUGGGUUGAUACCGAAAAGAAUCUUCUCCAAGACUCUACAGUUUGUCAAGGAAAAGAGAAAGCUCAUUCUUGAGGAAGUUAAAUUAUUAUUCUCCAGGUUGAGAAUCUUUAAAUUUCUUAGAUUUCCCAGAUUAUCAGGAAUGGACCGUAAAAAGUAAUUACUAGACAUGACAAGAAGAGUAAGCUGAGAGGCAUUGGAAAUAUACAUUGGGAACGAGCCGACAAGGUGAUUCAAACCAAGAUAUAAUUUCUCCAUGUUUGGAAGGAAAAGGCCCAUGUUUGAUGGAAGAUGGCCAGAGAGUUGAUUUGUUUCCAAAGAAAUUAUCGUUAGAGUUGAAAUAUUAAAUACUUGUGGAGGAAUAGAACCAGCAAUAUUGUUAGAUGUUAUAGUCAACACUUUUAGAUUCUUUAGGUUGCCAAUCUCAUGUGGUAUUAUACCUGCCAUAAAUUUUACCAAACAAAAAUAUUAGACAAAUAUGGGGAAGGAAAGAGUUUAUAUAUAUUUUAAACAUUAUAAAAAAUUUAAAUUAAAUUAUCUAACAAUGUGUACAAUUAUGUCAAUUAGUUUUUAUAGAGCUCUUUCAAAUAUCAAAGUACUUCAAGUAAUUUUAAAUUGAAAUUUUUAGGUCUAAAGUCGGAACAAGUUAAAAAUAUAGAAAAUAGUGAUGAAUUAAAUCAUUAAGAACAAACAUUCACAAGUUUAAGAAAAUGAAAAUAGAUAUUAUUUUUCUUUUAUCUGAUUUGAUAAGUUUAUUGUUCUAAGAACAUAAAAAAAAAUAAAAAAAAAAGGAAAAAGAAGAAAUAUACUAUUCGCAAUGACUGAAAAUUUUUAUAAUUAUUGUAAAAUAAUGAAAACACUAAAAGUCGUUGAGCAAAAUAAAGUUCAAAACACAUAAUGCUACCUAUACUAAUAGAAAUUAAACCUAUCAGUAAAAGUUGCAAAUUAAUAAAAAUAGUUUGGAAAUAAUCACUAGUAUUUCACAUCCUAUUUCUCUCAUCAUUUUCUCGUAGUUUAUUAGUUUAUUCUUCAAUCUUCUUUUGAAAAUUUUCAUUUAAUAAAUAAAUUUAUAUUUUCAAUCUCAAUACAAGAUUCAUCUAAAUUAUUAUAUUCAUUAACUAAUGGUUAGCAUAUAUUACCUUCAAAGUGAUUCCGACCAAUAUAGAUGUAUUGAAGCAUACUCAAAUUCCCAAUUUCUAUUGGUAGGCUCCCCUCCAUUUGGUUAUACGAUAGAGAUAACAUUUGUAACUCUUUGCACUUGAAUAGGCUGGCAGGAAUUCUACCAGAAAGCUGGUUAAAACUCAAGUACAAUUCUUUGAAAUUUGGAAGAUGACCAAACAUAUCUUUUGGGAUAUGACCACUGAGAUUAUUGGAGGUGAAAUCGAUGACUUCUAGCAAAAACAAAUCUCGUGGAACAAAGGGUAUGAAACCAGAGAGCAUAUUAUCGCUUAGAUCAAUUAUUUGCAACGAAGAUAUAUUAAAGAUGGAGGAGGGUAUUGAACCUGAAAUCCGGUUUUCAGACAAGACCAAGAUCUGUAGCUUUGACAAAUAGCCUAAAGAGAAUGGAAUAACACCUUUGAAGUUGUUGUGGUACAGAGACAUCCCUCCAAGUUCAGUUAAUGAUCCCAACCAUGAAGGGAUUUCUCCACUGAAGUAGUUACUACCAAAGCUUAGAUAUUUCAGCCGAUGCAAAUUGGAUAACUGGACUGGUAAUCUGCCAUAGAAACUAUUGUUUGUGAUACGAAGAAGAGAAAGGAAUGAUAAAUUUCCUAAGUGAGGUGGAAGGGUGCCUACGAGUCCCAACCCAGUAAGGUUUAGAGCUGUGACUCUACGGUGCUUGGAUCCACAACUUACACCAAACCAAUUGCAAACAGGGGCAGAGGCUGACCAGUUAGUUGUCAAGACAUUUUCAGGAUCAUGAAUAACAUGAUCUUUUAGUGCUAAAAGAGCUGAUUGAUCUGUAAGUAUGGUGGUUAAUUUCAUAGAGAAAGUAGGCAUAGAAAAAUGGAAGAUGAUAAGAAGAGCUAAGUUGAGGAAAGUAUUCCCCAUUUGAAUUUGGGUGUUUAUCAAGCUACCAACAAAGGCAGAACUGAGAUUGCUAGACAGAUAAUUGAAUGACCACACAACUUCUUUUACAUAAUAUGUGUGUAUAUAUAAAGGGGAGCUUAUGUUGCAAUUUCUUCUUGCAAGAUUGCAAAUUCUUUUAAUGUGAUUUACGUAGAAACUAUGGAAUUUAUUAUAGGAUGUGAUAAUAUAAUUAUGUAAUUAUUGCUUAAGAAACUUCUUUCUAAAUUUCUUUUAAUUCUUAAGAAAUUUCAGGAAAUAAUAUAUAGUGUCGAAACCAUUUUUAAAUCGAGUUUUGGAAAUUGGGAAUCGACUUUAAGAAAAACGAAAAUGGGAGUCGCCACCAAUCUUUUUAGGUGUGAUUGGAUCACCUUAUAAAAUGUUUUGUUUUAAAACAUUAAUUUUGGUCUACGAAAGUCGAGAAAACGGAUUCGGGAGUCGGUUACGUACGAGGAAGGGUUAGCACCCUCGUAAUGCCCAAAAAUUGGUACCUAAUUGAUUAUCAAGUGUCUUUAAUGUCGGAAAUUUGAAAGUUUUAAGAUGCAAACCUCUUUUAAUUAGAAUGUCUCAAUUUUGAAAAUUAAGGCUUACUUAUUUCAAACGAGUCAAAACAUCACAUCCAGUAAGUUAGGAUGCAAAAUUUUAAAACCUUCGUACUAAGCUCGUCUUUCGAAAAUUUCUAUCUCGAAACAACAAAACGCCAUAUCCAAUAAGUUAGGACACUAUGUUUUGAAAUCUCGAAAUAAUUGUUUAAGUUUUGAAAACUCAAAAUCACUUAGAAGGGUGCUUGACUAUUCGAAUUCAACGAGAAAAGUCGCAACCAGUAAGUUAGGGCACUACCUUUCUCGAAGUUUCCAAACAUCAAGCAUUUCCUUUUAUUUUUUUUAAAAAAAACCUUGGAAUAUUAUUUUAAAUAACGUUUUAGGAUGACAUAUUAAUGCAUCAUAAAGCAUAGAUUUACAAAAUAUUCUAACAUUUCCAUACAAACAUAAAUAAUAUCAUUAAGACAAAACUAAAUAACAUGAACUUACGUUUAAUAAAAAAAAUCAUACUAGGAUAAAUAUAAGAUAAUAAACAAAUAAAAACAUGAGUAAACUAAAAGAAAAACAUAAUACAUGCAAAAAAAUUAUACAACAAUAUAUCAUAAAAUAGCACAUAAAAGAAAUAAUUAAACAUAGCAUAUAAAAAAUGAAACUAUGCACAAAUAAGAUAAAUGACAUACACUAAAAAAAUGAAUAAAUAGAACAUUUACAAAUUAUAAAAAUAUAAUGCAAUAGUUCAAAAUACAUGAAAUGAUAAUGUAAUAUAUAUACAUGCAUAGAAAAUAUAUAUUUGAAAAAAACUAUAUAAAAAGGUUAAAUAUUAUAAUAUAUAAAAUACAUAAUAAAAUGUAUAAAAGAUAGGAAUAAAUAUACAUAUUUGAAAAAUGAAGAAAUUAAAAUAAAAAAAGGGUUGAAAAACUAAGAUAGACGAAGAAUAAAAUAAGAACAAACCACAGAGAGUAAGAACGCAAGAGGGAGAGAAUUUUGAGUGAAUGCUCUCAAGAAUUCUUAUUGCUUCCCAAAACUCAAGUGAUUUACAAUGAAGGGAGAGACCUCUAUUUAUAGUUGAGCCUCCCCAAAUCCAACGGUACAGAUCAAUUACAUCAACGGUUAAGAUUAAAGGAUAUCUACAAAUUAAAUCUCCAAGAUUACAAGAUCAUAUCUUCAAGAUUGCAUAUCAUAUCUAAGAUUGUAUCAUGUCUAAGAUUGCAUAUCAUAUCUAAGAUUGCAUAUCCUUAAAGAUUAUAUUUCCAUAUGAGUCAAGCUUAUAGAUGGACCUUAAAUCUUUUCAAGUAAUGGGCGAUUCCGAUUGGGCCAAAUUAUAUGUUUGUAAUUUUGUAUUGGACUUGGACUUUGUUUUAUUUUUAUUUUUUUGGGGGUUUAUUAUUUUAAAUACUGAAAUGGGCCGGGCAAAAUUGAGUGUCUACAACUACCCCUCUUUGCUCAUUGCUGUGUAACAGGAAUAGACCAAAAACUAUAAAAUGACCAAUUUUGCCCGGGCUCGCCGAGUCUCGAGUUCUUGAUCUUUGAUCUUCUUUCAAUGGCCUCUUGAUGGCUUCAAUUUGCUUCACUGCAACUCAGGAAGGCGAUAUCUGUUAUCUUUGACCUGCUCCCCGUCUACUACAGAGACGCCAAAUCUGUUAUCUUCGAUCUGCUCCCCGUCUAAUACAGAGACGCCAAAUUUGCUUCUUCAAUCUGCUCCUUGCAAACUCAUGACUGUCAUGUUGAUAUCUUCGAUCUGCUCUCCGUCGAACACAGAGACGCCAAAUUUGCUUCUUCAAUUUGUUCCCUGGCAAUACAGAGAUGCCAAAUCAUCUUAGAUUUGCUUUAGCGUAAACACGUGAAAGCCAAAUCUACUAUGUCUUCGAUUUGUUCCUUGUAAACACAAGGAUGCCAAAUCAUCUUGGAUCUGCUUCAAUAUAAACAUCUGAAGGUUAGAUCUGCUAUGUGUCUUCUCUCCGUCAAAUAUAGAGACGCCAGAUCUGUUAUCUUGGAUCUGCUUUGAUGUGAAAACAUCUGAAAGUCAGAUCUUCUAUGUCUUCGAUUUGCUCCUUGUAAACACAAGAAUGCCAAAUCAUCUUGGAUCUGCUUCAGUAUAAACACCUGAAGGUCAGAUCUGCUAUGUCUUCGAUUUGCUCCUUGUAAACACAAGAAUGCCAAAUCAUCUUGGAUCUGCUUCGAUGUGAAAACAUCCAAAUGUCAGAUCUGCUAUGUCUUCGAUUUGCUCCUUGUAAACACAAGAAUGCCAAAUCAUCUUGGAUCUGCUUUGAUGUGAAAACAUCCAAAGGUCAGAUCUACUAUGUCUUCAAUUUGUUUCUUGUAAACACAAGAAUGCCAAAUCAUCUUAGAUCUACUUCGAUGUGAAAACAUCCAAAGGUCAGAUCUGCUAUGUCUUCGAUCUGCUCUCCGUCGAAUAUGGAGAUGCCAAAUAUGUUUCUUCGAUUUACUCUCUGACAAUACAGAGAUGUCAAAUCAUCUUGGAUCUACUUCAGCGUGAACACCUGAAGGCCAGAUCUGCUAUACUUUAACCUGUUAGCCUACUGCUUAGGGGGUUAAGGCGUAUCUUCGACCUGUUACCCUACUGCUUAGGAGAUUAAGGCGGGUCUUAGAUCUGCUCCACUACUGCUUAGGGAGAUAAGAUCUGCAAAUUUAACCUGUUACCUUACUGCUUAGGGGAUUAAGGUGAGUCGUCGUCGAUCUGCUCCGCUACUGCUUAGGGAGAUAAGAUUUGCGAACCUGUUACCCUACUGCUUAGGGGAUUAAGGUGCAUCGUCUUCGAUCUACUCCACUACUGUUUAGGGAGAUAAGAUCUGCAAAUUUAACCUGUUACCCUACCGCUUAGGGGAUUAAGGUGAGUAUUUGAUCUGCUCCACUACUGCUUAGGGAGAUAAGAUCUGCAAAUUUAACCUGUUACCCUACUGCUUAGGGGAUUAAGGCGAGUCUUCGAUCUGCUCCACUACUACUUAGGGAGAUAAGAUCUGCAAAUUUAACCUGUUACUCUACUGCUUAGGGAUUAAGGCGAGUCUUCGAUCUGCUCCACUACUGCUUAGGGAGAUAAGAUCUACAAAUUUAACCUGUUACCCUACUGCUUAGGGGAUUAAUGUGAGUCUUCGAUCUGCUCCACUACUGCUUAGGGAGAUAAGAUCUGUAAAUUUAACCUGUUACCCUAUUGCUUAGGGGAUUAAGGUGCUGAAUUUUGUAAUUUUCAAUCAAUCUUGCUACAUUGUCCACUGGGGAAUCCAACUGUAGAAUUAAUUUCCUGAAAUUUAUGCUUAUGCCAAAUAAUUAAGAUGCCAUGAUCGAAAUGAGUCAAAUGCUCCUAAUUAGACAUAUUAUGAUGCAAAAUGUUUAUAAAAAUAACUCCUGUUUCGGACGUCAUCAUUCAUUCAUCUAUCGAGCUUUCCACCUCGUUCUUCUCGACAUAUCAAUCAUACUCUGCUCGUAUGCCUCGAAUCUUCUCCAUCAAUUUGGUCUACCGUACCAUUCCCCGAAUGUUACGACCCACUGAAGAUGUUUAUGAAAUGAUCCUUUCUUAAGAUCAAUAUUGCUUAAAACGUCCAACCACCUUGUGGGCUGAAGAAGAAAAUCUCUCGAGUAUCUCCAACCCAUACAUAUGAGAAUUCCUUAAACAAUUGUCUUGUUUCAGUUUCUUGUAUUAUCUAGAAAUUUCCAGAGUAAUAUGCAAAACUUCAAUUGUGAAUAUAUUUUAGUUCAUCUAUUAUUAUUUCAAUGCAACAUGCUUUAUGAAUAAUGGGAGACAAAUAAAUUGAUCCUGAGGAUAAUUAGAUUUGGACAAAUUAUUGGAAGGAAUACAAAAAGAUUAACUUGAGAACAUAUCUUUGCGAAGAAAAAGAAUCCAAAGAUAAUAAAUAGGAAAGAAAUCAGAUGCCCCAGAUAUCGCCGCUUGAGCGUCUAUACACCAGCUCCAUGAAGACUUUCUUGAGUUCAACAUGUGUUUAAAAUAUCCAAAGUAAUUCGUUGAUGCCUCGAUAUGUAACAUACUUCACUUCUCGUCGAAUCCGGUAUAGCAAGAUCACUGCAUGACUUUCCAAAUUUGAGCUGCCCUUUCAUGUUUUCAACUCAAAACCCCUUUGGUCUCAAUGCGCCCUUUGCGGGUUUUCACCUUGGCCUCUCCAUUUUUUAUUUUUUAUUUUUUAUUUUUUAUUUUUUAUUUUUUAUUUUUUAUUUUUUCUCUUUUUUAUUUUUAUUUUUUUCUUUUUCUUUUCUUUUUUCUUUUUUUUUUGAAAUAGAAGUCCCAAAGUGCCCUUUGCGGGUUUUCACCUUGGCUUCCCUUCUCCUUCAGACAAAGUACUCCUUAACCGAGUCUGAAUUCACUGGAUCAGAUAAAUUCUUCCUAUCCAUUUCUUGUCAAAAUCAGUGCACCUCUAGAGAAAGCCCUCUUCGCAACAUAUGGCCCUUCCCAAUUCAGCAUCCUUUUGCAUGGGAAGGAUCUCUUUCAGUACAAGAUUUCCUUUAUGAAAUUCUUUUGAACGACCCUUCUUUGUCAUAAGUCUGUGUCAUCCAUCUUGGUACAUUUUCUUAGGAUGAAUACUUUCAAGUUAAGUUUACUAGAGGUAUUCAAUUCUUGACUCCACCAAAGCUUGGAGGAAAAAUCUUGAUUCAUAAACCCAUGAGAAAGGGAUUACCCCAGUAGUAGUCCUGGCUGUUGUUUGUCAAACCCUACAAAAAGAUGGUUCAAUGAUUCUCAGUAUACAAGAAUGAAGUUGCUGACUUUAUCCUUCAACCUGGAAAGCUGAGGUACAGAGAUUACUCCCGGAGCAUACAUCCCACCAUAACUCGAUGAUGUUUUUGAAACAUCUCUAAUCUUCAUAAAUUGCCCCCAACUGUGAAGCUGCCAAAUGAGCGUAGCAAAUAAGAGCCACAACAAAUAUAGCUGUGGUGCUCUUUUGAUACAUAUAGGAUAGAGAAUGAACAAACUCUUGCAAAUCAUCAGCCGAAAACCCAACCUGGUCUAAGAGAACAUGAUAGUGGGUCUGCCUCGUGAUUCUAAUCAUUCCAGCAUGGGUACCAAGGUAAAAAUCAUUGUUCUUUGGAUGUCAUACUUUGUUGUCAAUGACAGUACCAUGUAGCACAUUUUCAGGAGAUCCCUGCUGGAAAAACUUGGUAUGAUGGUUUUUCGUACAACAAUAACCACAAUCUUUAGGGUUCCACUUCUCGUCAAGGAACUUGCAAGCUUCAACAACUUGAUCAAAAUUUGAUUGAAUUGAGACUCGCUAACCCCAUCCCUGAAAAUAAUAAUUUGAUUAGGUUUCCUCUUCCCUGAACUUGUAUAAAAGUCUAAGAGAGCUUCCUUCAUGAUACCGCCAUCCAAUUUGUCAGAAACUGGUUUUGAAGAAAGAAUCUAUCAUUUUAAGCUUUAGAGACUGUGUACGGCCUGAUGCCCCAUAGCUGGAAAUCAAUGGCCACCGCCUGGAGCUAACCAUCGCAACUAUUGACGGCACAUCAGACUGCUCAGGAAAGCUAAACAAUGCACCCAUUCCAAGGAUGAUGGUUGUAACCUUUGAAACAACUGGAAUUGAAGGUGUUUGCCCAGUAUAAGCAUAGAGAGUAGGCGGUAGUUUCUUAUGCCAAUUUUUACCAGUCUCGGUCAUCUUCUGUAAUUUGUUUUUUCUUCUUUUUUUUUCUUUUGGAAACCUUUGUUGUACUGUGGUAUGGCACAUUAUCUUUGAAAAGACUGCAAACUUUUGGCAUUGUGCAGUUAUAUAUAAUCUUUUUUUUUUUUGAAAUGGAUGGCUUUUGACUUUGUAAUAUUGGCAUAUGAAGCUAUCUCCCCCUCUUAAUGGAGUAUUUGACGUCCAAAAAGAUGAGUCAUUGUCAGCUUGAAACUUUUGACGAGCUCAGGCCCAUAACAUACAUGCCCCAUAAGUCUUGACUCCUUUAAAUUUGGCAUUCAUUGUACAACUGAUGCGAUCCCUUUCCAUGGUGGACCAACAGUGCCCCAAAACCUCAUGUUUAUCCUGGCAAUUGCAAAUCCUCCUGCAUGCGUCUUUGGACCACAUUUUUGAAUUCCCAUAAUAGUCUCAACAAGGUCUUGUUUUGUCUUCUCAGCUAAUUCCAAUUUCGCAAUCUUUCCUUCCUCUAAGGCUAUAUUUCCUACCACCACUUCAUGGGGUAAAAACCAUUUUCAACAAAUUCAGAAAUAAGUCACAAUUUCUGUCAACUUCAAAGUACUGAGAUUCCUCUAAACACAUAUCGCACUCAAAAGGAACUCUGAAUCUGUAGUAUCGUUGCCCGUGUCAUUGAUAUCUAGGGAUCUAUGAUAGGCACAUAAAAGAAUAUACAAGGAAUAAAUGAAUUCAAGAAUGACUAUUUACAUGAAAUGAAAAUUUAUAAAGAAUGUCAAAGGUCAAAAGAAUCAGAAUGAAAUAAUAUAUACUCGGAUAAAUAAUAAAAGUAUGUUUUAUUGAAAAUAAAAAUGUCUGAACAUGAGCCCAAUUCUCAAAAGAAAUCUCAUUACUCCUAGGCUUUAGAGCAACAAGAGUGUUUUGAAUAUUACUCCGUAAAAUUCCUAAAGAUUACAAGAAGUUCUUCUACAGUCCAAUUGUUUAAAGAACUUCCCGGCUUAUAAGGGCGAAUGCCCUCAAGGUUUCUUUGUUUAGUCCCUUCCUCAUGUAUGAUAUUGAUGGGAUGAUUUUCAUUUCUAAACACCCCAUUCUCUAGGUAAGCUAUCACUCCUGACACAAAAGUCAGGGAUAUGUAAGGGAACGUCGUUAAUUCCCAUUCAACUUCUUUUUUACUUAGCCGUGACCCUCUUCUCUCUCUCUCUUUUUCUUUCUCUUUUUAAUAACUUUAACUAAUUAGGGUCUUUCUAUAAUUUUGAAUGCAAAUGAUACAAUGAAAUGCUAUAAGAUGCAAAUGAAUGCAAAAGGUAUCGAUCUCGAUUCAAUCUCAUUUAGAAAACUUUAUUUAGAAAAAGAAUAUCUUUACAUAUAAAUGGAUUACAAAUACGCUUUCGCCUUAAUGCCUAAAGUUUUAACAACAAACUCUUGGCCACGAUCAGAUUGUAGCUCAUAUUGGUGCUCAAUAUGUCAGCCUGUGCCGCCAAUGUCUGUAAAUAAUCAGCUACCUCCUAAGUUUGAGCUACGACCUCACCUGUGGGGUAAUACGUGCAGCUAAGGGCACCUCUUCCAAUACUUGUGAAGUUGUUCUGAUUAUUUUGAGAUAGAUUAGCGAACAGGUAGGUAUCCCGUUCUGCAGUGUGCUACCUUAAAAUAAUAUCCUAUAUCUUCAAUGUUUCUUGAGAGCUUUCAGAUUUCUACCCAUGCAGAGCAUCCUGCCUCAGUACCUUCGCAGCAUAGCUAAUCUCUAAAGGUUUUGUAUGAUACGGUCUUCUUUAAUUGCUUUCUUUCACGCUUACUUGAGCUAUCCAGGCCAUCGGGGCUUGCAUUUCCAUUGUUUCUGAUAAGUACAACAGUAAACUCAAGCUUGUUAUUUGGUAGCGGUCCUAUAGUAAACGAGCUUUUACCAUCAUAGGCAAAAUUCUUUCCAUCCAACUCAUUUUUGUAGGUCUCAUGCACUUUAUCAAUCACUUUCCUUCCAAUACCCUUACCAUCCACAUGGCAACCGUCUUCAUAUGAAAAGAGAAAUGCUAUAAUGUUAGAAGUGUCCAUCAAUACUCCCACACUCACUUUGAAUUGCUCAUCUAUCCUCCUGUCAAGCAAAUAUUGCAAGUCCCCUUAGUUAUUGUAGAACAACUGAUUGGCUUCAUUACUCCAUUGAUCCCAUAUUUCCUUUAACUCCUAGAGAUUAUUUUGCGCCACGCUGAUGCGAGUGUAACCCCAUAAUUCUGAUGUGUAUCCUUCAGCGUUUCUUUUGACCAUUUAUGGACGUUAACGUUGCCCUCCAUUCUAUCAAGAAGUCCGUUCUCCAUAGUAAAACUUUCUAACUUAGAAAUUGACCGUGAAUCAAUACCUUUUGAAUGCAAAAUGACAUGCACAAAAGAAAAAAAACAGUCAGUAUCAUAUGAUAUUAAUAAACACAAAGAUAACCUAAGUAUAAUUCUAUCUAUAUUGAGCUCUUAUGAUUUUUCUAUAUGUGGUUUGGUUCUAAAGUUUGAGGUACCCGAACCAGCAGAUUCCUCGAUCCUCACCCAUUAUAGGCUCAUUUGAAUCGAGUUCAGUUCAGGGGAAUACAUUUCCCUAUGGCUACACGGAGAUGAAAAUCUCACGAAACCAUAGGUACGGAUGUAUCCCGAAAGUGAUCCACUAUCCUGCACGGAGGCGAAAACUUCACGAAGGCAUAGCUUCUCACUCCUACUUAAGGGUGUGACCACAAUGGUCAUGCAAAUACAAUGCGUAUCAGAAUAUAGCAACACAUGCAAUAGUACAAACACAUGUAAUGCAAAGAGGACUAAAUUUUAAAAUUUUUAAUUUCUAACAUUAAGAUAAGAGAUAAUCAAUUACACGGCUUGACUCUCUUAUUAGUCCCCAACGGAGUCGCCCAGCUGUCGAAACCAUUUUUAAAUCGAGUUUUGGAAAAUGGAAAUCGACCUUAAGAAAAACGAAAACGGGAGUCGCCACUAAUCUUUUUAGGUGUGAUUGGAUCACCUUAUAAAAUGUUUUGUUUUAAAACAUUAAUUUUGGUCUACGAAAGUCGAGAAAACGAUUCAGGAUUCGGUUACGUACGAGGAAGGGUUAGCACCCUCGUAACGCCCAAAAAUUGGUACCUAAUUGAUUAUCAAAUGUCUUUAAUAUCGAAAAUUUGAAAGUUUUAAGAUGCAAACCUCUUUUAAUUAGAAUGUCUCAAUUUUGAAAAUUAAGGCUCACUUAUUUCAAACAAGUCAAAACAUCACAUCCAGUAAGUUAGGACGCAACAUUUUAAAACCUUUGAAACUAAGCUCGUCUUUUGAAAAUUUCUAUCUCGAAACAACAAAACGCCAUAUCCAAUAAGUUAGGAAACUAUGUUUUGAAAUCUCGAAAUAAUUGUUUAAGUUUUGAAAACUCAAAAUCACUUAGAAGGGUGCUUGAUUAUUCGAAUUCAACGAGAAAAGUCGCAAUCCAGUAAGUUAGGGCACUACCUUUCUCGAAGUUUCCAAACAUCAAGCAUUGCCUUUUAUUUUUUAUUUUAAAAAACCUUGGAAUAUUAUUUUAAAUGACGUUUUAGGAUGGCAUAUUAAUGCAUCAUGAAGCAUAGAUGUACAAAAUAUUCUAACAUUUCCAUACAAACAUAAAUAAUAUCAUUAAGACAAAACUAAAUAACAUGAACUUACGUUUAAUAAAAAAAAAUCAUACUAGGGUAAAAAUAAGAUAAUAAACAAAUAAAAACAUGAGUAAACUAAAAGAAAAACAUAAUACAUGCAAAAAAAUUAUACAACAAUAUAUAUCAUAAAAUAGCAUAUAAAAGAAAUAAUUAAACAUAGCAUAUAAAAAAAAUGAAACUAUGCACAAAUAAGAUAAAUGACAUACACUAAAAAAAUGAAUAAAUAGAACAUUUACAAAUUAUAAAAAUAUAAAGUAAUAGUUCAAAAUACAUGAAAUGAUAAUAUAAUAUAUAUACAUGCAUAGAAAAUAUAUAUUUGAAAAAAAACUAUAUAAAAAGGUUAAAUAUUAUAAUAUAUAAAAUACAUAAUAAAAUGUAUAAAAGAUAGGAAUAAAUAUACAUAUUUGAAAAAUGAAGAAAUUAAAAUAAAAACAAGGUUGAAAAACUAAGAUAGACGAAGAAUAAAAUAAGAACAAACCACAGAGAGUAAGAACGCAAGAGGGAGAGAAUUUUGAGUGAAUGCUCUCAAGAAUUCUUAUUGCUUCCCAAAACUCAAGUGAUUUACAAUGAAGGGAGAGGCCUCUAUUUAUAGUUGAGCCUCCCCAAAUCCAACGGUAUAGAUCAAUUACAUCAACGGUUAAGAUUAAAGGAUAUCUACAAAUUAAAUCUCCAAGUUUACAAGAUCAUAUCUUCAAGAUUUCAUAUCAUAUCUAAGAGUGCAUAUCAUAUCUAAGAUUGUAUCAUAUCUAAGAUUGCAUAUCAUAUCUAAGAUUGCAUAUCCUUAAAGAUUAUAUUUCCAUAUGAGUCAAGCUUAUAGAUGGACCUUAAAUCUUUUCAAGUAAUGGGCGAUUCCGAUUGGGCCAAAUUAUAUGUUUGUAAUUUUGUACUGGACUUGGACUUUGUUUUAUUUUUAUUUUUUGGGGGGUUUAUUAUUUUAAAUACUGAAAUGGGCCGGACAAAAUUGAGUGUCUACAUAUAGUAUUGUCAUUUAAUUGCACUUGUACUAAGGUUACAAUUUUUUUAUUAAAUUUUUUUAGAUUAUUGAAAUUAUUAGAGAACAGGAUAAAAUUAUACGAUGAUAACUUUUUUUAUCAAAUACAAAGUAUAUAUAGUAACAACUUAGUAGUCACUUCGAAGAAUAUAAACAAUGCAAGUCCAAGAGUUAAAAAGUCACUUCAAAUAAUAUAAACAAUGCAAAUUCAAUAGUUAAAAGUGAUGGAAAACUAAGUAAAUAGCUAAAAUGACUUUUUUUUUAUAAAGUUGGAGGGUCAAAAAAUUUUCUUAUCUUAUGAGUACCCUCGACAACAUGCCACCAUAAAGUAAGAAUAUAAAGUAUGAUUCAUUUAACUAGAUUUCUAGAAAGAAAAUUUGUAUUUUUGUCCGUAUAAAAGGGUGUAGAUUUGAGCUUAUUGAAACAUAUUUUUUUCUCUUAUAUAAGGAUUAGCAAAGAUUUAUGGAUAAUUCUAAUUAUUUUAUAAAAAAAUUAUAUAUUAUGGCAUAAAAAUUUCAAACUGUUUAUUUUCGGAAAUUAUUGAAUAAAGAAAUAAAGAAUUUUCAAUUUAAAAAUCUUAAAUUUAAAUCAUAACAACAGAAUGAAUUUAGUUACAACUGUCUCUUUACAAUUAUCCAAGAUGGAUUAAAUUUGGUUUUAUAUCUAAGAUAUUAAAACGAUAAUUAGGUUAAUUAUAAGUAUUAAACAAAAUUUUUCAGAUAAAAAUAUAAGUAAUUUUACAGUAUUCAUGCUAGGAAUUGUGGAGUGUGUCUCGUAUUCUUUGCACACUUAUUUUUGUAUGAUUAGAACUCUAAUUUAAGCAUAUAUAAAGGAGUACUUAUUGUAUCCAAGUUUCAAUAAGCCAAUCAAGAUGUAGUCAUAAGUUUUUUCUUUGAGGGCGACAAUAUGUAGUCCCAUAUGAGCUUUAGUGAGAGUUUCGUGAUAAUUAUGAAGAAUAUUUUUAUACUCAUUUUGUGAGUAACUUAUGAGAUUUAGGGUUUUGUUUACCAGUUUUCUCUUUGCAAUUUUGAGCUUUGUAUUUAGAGUUUUGGGUAAUGUACAUUUAGUACUUUUAGGUUUAAUUUCUCCAUAUUGUACUCUUGUUUGUUUACUCAUUUAGUGAAAAGUGAAAGCCUCCUUUGUUCAUAGUUUUUCCCUCUUUGAAGGUUUUCCACGUAAAAUAUUUGUGUUCGUUCUUCUCUACUUUUACUACUUUGUUGUUUUUAUGGGUCAAUGCCCAAUAAAAUGGUUUCAGAGCUACAUUUUAGCUUCUGCAGAUUGAAUCAUUUGGUGACACAAUAAAAUAUUUGAAUAUCGAGAAGUUCAACGGGAUCCAAAAUUUCAAUUUUUGGCAGUUUCAAAUAAUUACGGAUGAAGUUGAUGUGGCCAGGACAAGGAUGAUGAUUCAUUAUUCUCCACAUAUAUCUGGUUAAAGGUGGAGUCGUGUCAAAUGUUAGGCAUGUGCCUGAUUUAGAGAAGAAUCUCAUCCCCCCUUUUGGUCUUUAAGACUCGAGUGGUUUGCAAAGUGUUUAAGGCAAGGUUGUCGUAGAGGGUUACCGUCAAAUGGAGAGAGUUUCGCUUGUUUGGGUAUUACUGACACUUGUUGCAUUAUACAAAUUUGAUUUAAAGAUUAUGCGUCUUUCAGUUUUCAAGUUCAAGCAUACUUUAAACUUGGUUGACAUUUUGCAAAAUUCGAGUUUGGCAUGUGACGGGGGAUGGAAAAGGAGACAUGAUAAAUAUAAGUCAAUGUGGAGAUUUGUGGGGCGUAUCUUGUAUUCUUCUCCAAGUUAAACUCUAUUAUCUUUUCCCAGUUGGAAUAUGAUUAUACCAGGGAUAUAUUAGUAUGAUUAGGACUCUAAUUUAAGUCAAUUUAAAGGGUCAUUGUAUCCUUGUUUCGAUAAGCCAAUCAAGAUGUAGUCGUAGGCUUUUUCUUUGAGAGCGACAGGAUGUAGUCCCAUAUGAGUUUUGGUGAGAAUUUCAUUUUUAUACCCCUUUUGUGAGUGACCUAUGAGAUUUAGGGUUUUGUUUAUGGAUUUUCUCUUUGGGACUUUGAGCUUUGUAUUUAGGGCUUUGAGCAAUGUAUGUUUAGUAUUUUUAGGUUUAUUUCUCCAUAUUGUACUCUCGUUGGUUUACUUAUUUAAUGAAAAUUCGAAGCCUUAUGAAACAUGCACGGAUGGGGUGAAAUUUAUUAAAUUCCAAUCACCAAAGUUGCCAAUUUUCAAGCUUGGGAAAUCAUUAGACUUGUGAUGACUUUUUGGACGGGAUCCUAGCAUUUCUAGGUUGAUAUAUGACAUGGUGUUUUUAGAUCUAUCUCUUAUCUUCGAUAAACAUUUUGAAUAACUCGAUUUUGAGUUUGGGAGCUCAAGUUAUGAUCGUUUUAGUGAAAACUGCGCGAGCAAAAUUUCUGAAAGGGAUUAUGACGGGAAUUACGAAUUUUGGGCUUUUAAUUUGAGUUUAAGUCAUACAAGGUUAGGAUUUUAGGCUUAAUUUUUUUAUAUAUGAGUCCAAUAUUGUAUUUAUCAGCUCUUAUUAUUUUAUUAUUAUUUUAUUCUGAAUUUUUGAUAAUUAGUAGGUAUUUUAAGUUAUUUAGGAGUUUUAUGUUAACAAGAAAGUUUAGUUUAAAAAUUUUUCUUGUUUAGAUUAAAUUUGAGUUCCAGUAUACUUAAGAAUUUUUUUAGAUUUAUGUAGCUAGCCUAUAUAUGGGCUUUUGCAUUGUACACAAUGGAUACAAUUCAUUAUUAUUCUAUUUCUCUUUUGAGUUAAUAAAUUCUCUAUGGGUUUUUCUUUUCAAGAAUUUCUCUUGAGUUUCUUUUAGAAGAGUUUUAACAAUCUUUUUAGAUUGGGGGGAUCAUUUUCAAACUUUUUCUUACCAAGGUUUCUAUCUUGGAGGGGAAAUUAGAGCCGCUUGAAGGGGGUUGUGGAUUCUUCGUGUUUCCAAGGCUUCUUAGGACUUCUACUUGCCACGUUCUAUCUUUCCAUUUAUCUUCUUUAUUUGCUUCCUUAAUCUUUAAUUUAUUAUUUUAUUUUAGUUAUUUAUUUUAAUUAUUUUAUCUAACUUGGAUUCAAUUUCGUUUAAGGUUGUGUCAAAAUCCAAGUUUCUUUCUGAACGUCUAGAGCCCUAAGUCAAAUCCGCAACUCUGACAAACUUUACGAUCCACUUUUGCAUUCAUCCUUCUCAUCCUUUAUCACCUCAUUUGCUCGUGGUUUUUCCCUAUUUAAGGGUUUUUCACGUAAAAUAUUUGCGUCCAUUCUUCUCUACUUUUACUACUUUAUUGUUUAUAUGGGUAAAUCUUUAGCAGGAACAUGUCCAGUCACCAACCUUUCAUAAAUUUUUUACCAUUUUUUUUAGAUCUUUAUAGAUUCAAUAAUAGUUUUCCAAUUUUCCAAGUAUUCAUUGUCUUGCCCUUUCCUUGGGUUUGGUUUGGGACGACUGCUUGACUUAAUUGUGCAAUCUAAAGUCUUUCCAAUUUGUCAUUUUAAGCUAAGUAGUUGCUAAUAUUGUAAUGACUGACAAUUACGGAUAUCGGAAACUGAAGGUUUGGGUGACUGUUUUCAUAAAACGAAUUCGUAAAUAUUUAUUAGAAAUAUUUACGAAUGAUAGUUGAGUGGUUAAUUAGAGUUUAAUCUAGUGAAUUAGCUUGAAUUAAGAAUAAUUAGGAGAAAGGACUAGAUUGAAUAAAGAAUAAAAGUUUAAUUGAGGAUUAAAGAAAAGACAAGGGAUUAAUUUAGCAAUUAAACUAUAGUAAGACAAAUGUAUGGUAAAAAUAAAUAAAAUGUGUAAAAAUAUAAAUGGUACACAUGUAAUAAACAUGUGUAUUUACUUAUUUUAUAAGAAAAUAAUAAUGAUUAAAGUAUAUUAUAAUAAUAUAAUAUAAUAUAGUAAUUAAAUAAAACAAAUAAAAGAAAAGAAAGAAAUAGAAAGAGGAUAGAAGACGAAAUAGCAGGGAAAGGAAAGGAAAGAAAAAGAAAAAGGAAAAAUUAGGGUUCUAAGGUUUAAAGCUUGAUUGGUAAGUCAAUUUGAUCCCUUUUGCAGUAAUUUUUUUGUCUAUGGAAUCCUAGGAAAGAAUAUUACCUGAGUUAUGUUGAAAUUUAAAAAGUUAUUGAAUUUUUAGAUGUUGAUUAAGUUGAAUAAAUGGAAGAAUUAAGUGUUAAUUUGAUGAAAAUUCAAGUUAGAAGUGGGGGAAGGAUUAAUUUGUAAAGAGAGAUAUAAGUUUUGUCAUAAUACGGACUAAAUUGUCUAAAUUGUAGAAUUGAUGUUUUAUAUUGAAUAUUAAGAGUUGAAACUUGUUUAAAAUAGGUAUAAAAAGAGAAUAUAUGAUUUAAUUGUAGAGAAAAGAAUGGUUAUGGUGGAAGGACUUCAUUGAAAAUAUAGUAAAAGUUACAUGGAAAUAAAAGAAUGUGUUAUUAAAUAACAUGCAUUGAUAAUUUUAAAUGUUAAAUUUUAUGUAGCCAACGUAGCACCUUAAACAUCAUUGAAAAAGGGAAAGGAGAAAGUGAACGAGGAUAUCGAGUAAACUCGAGAAAUUCGGUUUGUUUUUCUAUAAACUAUGCUUAAUGAUUUAAUACAAUGUAAUUGCUAUUUUUAGCAGUUAGAAUGUAUAAUGAAUGAUAUGAUAGAAAUUAUUACUGCUUUUGUAUUGAAGUGUAACAAUUUGUAUACCCUAUUAACAAGUGUCGGGUUAGUCAGAUAUAAUUGGCAUGCCAUAGGAUUGGAAGUGUUCAGGGAUAUUCCGACUAUGUGUCGAUGAGACACUAUAUGUGUUGACUACUGUGACUGUUCCAGAUUUAUUCGAAAGAGGUACUCUGUACCUGACUGUGACUGUUACUGCUACUGUUACUGUUACUGUUACCCUACGGUGUAUUCUGGUUUCAGUCGAUGAAACACUGUACAUUAUCCCCGGUGUGUGGGUUGGAUCCGUGUAUCCGUUCAAGUUAUAAAGUACUCAAAACUGAAUGUUAUCUUUAUAUGACUGGUUUACGAUGUUGAAUGAUAUUGAAUGAUAUGAAAUAUUUAUGAAUUUCUUUUCUACAUGAAAAAGAUACGAAAUGAAUUUGAAAGAUGAAGUUACCAAGAUUAUGAAAGUAAAAGUUUAAGUUAGAAUGUUUAUACAAAGUUUAUUAUUUGUUUAAGUAUUAGUUUAUAGGAAUACCACUGAGUGCAUACUUAGAGUAUGGUUUGUUUCCGUACGCAGGUUAGGUACAAAGUAAAUAAAGUCUCAGCAUCCGAGCCAACUCCUGAACUCAAUACUUGGUGAUGUAUCUAUCUAUGAUGAAUGGCAUGUACCUAGGUUGUUUAAUGUUAUUUUGGUUAUAAGUUAUGUUAAUGAGGAGUGAUAAUGGAUAGUUAAUAGUUGUAAAGAGAAUACUAUAAUGUGUAAUCAUUUGAAUUGAAUACAAUGGCACGUGGGUGCAACUUUGAAUAGUUUAGUUUAAGGCAUUAUUGAGUAUAUGUGUUAGAUUAUGAAAUGAUAGUUUAAUGAGUAUUAAGUGUGUUUAAUUAUAUUUGGAUUGGUUGAAUGAAGAAAUUUUGUAGUACUUGUUGUCUACAAAUUGCAGGGUUGGUAAAUUUUAAAAUACAAGGUUCAUUUUGAGUCCACAUGGUUUGUCACACGGGCGUGUGACCAAGCCGUGUGAGACACACAGCUUGCACAUGGGCGUGUUGUUAGGCUGUGUGUCCCCUGCACCUAAAUAGUUACAACCAAGUUAGUCCACGGGCAUGUGCCUUGGUUGCCACGGCCGUGUCUUAAAGUUAGUGUUGAACACGAGUUGAGGAUACGAGCGUGUCCCAAGCCACACGGGCGUAUGGUACUGUUCAAAGGAGGAAAAAUUUAAAUUCGAACGAGAAAUUUUCUAAGCCUAUAAUCGAGCCCCGAUUAAUUUUAAUUAUAUUUAAUAGGUACUGUGGGCCCAUUAAAGCUAUGUUUGGAUGUAUUAAAUUUCAUUUAUUCAUGUCUUAGUGUAAAUGUACUGAAAUGACCAGUAAUACUCUGUGAUCCUGUUCCGACAACGGGACAAGGUUAGGGGUGUUACAUUUAGUAGUAUCAGAGCUACUCAGGUUUAGUCGAUUCUAGGACUAAAUAGAGUCUGAAAUUGAGUCUAGAGGUACAAGCUAUUUUUAUGUUAAUAUUGAAUCGGGAUUGGAUGCUGAUAUAUAUAUAUACUGAUAAAUUGAUUCUAUUUUAUAGUGUGAAAAAGAUGUCUGAUGAAAGUAUCGAGGGUACCGAUCAAGAAAUGUACAGUAGAGAUGAAUCAUAUGAUAUAAAUGAGUCCGAAUCUGUAACCUCAAGCGUAAACCCGGUAGGUAAUCAACCACCAAGUACUGGAAGGGAUAAUAUAGAAAUAUUUAGAAUGAUUGCGGAAGCUCUUCAAAGAGCGGUAGGAAGUAUGCCUGCUACUACUUCUACUCCUACUACCCGAUGAGCACCUAUUAAGGAAUUGCGAAAGUAUGGAGCUACAGAAUUUUUGGGGUCAAAAGGAACUGAUUCAACAACAGCUGAAAGUUAGUUGAGACUACCAAGAGAUUUUUGAAGCAAUUAGAAUGUACACGACAAGAAAGUUUAGUAUGUGUUGUUUCUCUGUUACAAGAGGAGGCUUACAUAUGGUGGGAAUCAGUGAUUCAGAAUAUACUAGAAGAACAGGUAAACUGAGAACUCUUUCAACGGGAAUUUUAGAAGAAGUAUUUGGGAGAGACAUAUAUGAAAUAUUGGAAAUAGGAGUUUUUAAUGUUGAAGCAGAAAGAUAUGUCUAUAGUGAACUAUGAACGGGAAUUCUUGAGAUUGAGUCGAUAUGCAACUGAAUUUGUGCCGACUGAAGCUGACAGAUGCAAGCUAUUUCUAAGAGGACUGCGAGAUGAAUUCCAACUGCAAUUGAUGCCUCUACGGAUUACAGAGUUUGUAGAUUUAGUAGAAAGAGGUAAAAUGAUUGAUCAAGUACUAGGAAAGAGUUGAAAGACUGAAACUGCACAUUUAACUGGGAAACGUCCUGGAACUGCUAGUUCAACUCUGCAAUUCAAACAAUUAAGAGAAUCUCCAGGCAGUGGAAGAUUCAGUACAAGAUCAGAAAGAGGAGACAGAAGUCAAAAGAGACAAACCACUGUAUCUACUGGUAGUAUUAGAAGUCCGGCUCAGAACAUUGAAAUUCUAGAAUGUGAGUAUUAUGGAAACAAACAUAGAGAAGAGUGUAGAAAGUUAACUGGGGGUUGUUUUCGAUGUGGAUCCACCGAUCAUUUUGUAAAGGAUUGUCUGAAGAUUGGUAAUGCAGCACCAACGGUAUUCCAAAGAUCUGAAUCUACUUCCAGAGGUCGAGGGUCAGGCCGAAGUGGUCCAGUCGCUAGAGGAGGUACUACAAGAACUAGUGAAAAUGCUACCCAGCAAUCUAAAGUAAGAACUCCAGCUCGGGUAUAUGUUGUAAGAACUCGAGAAGAGGGAGAUGCCCAUGGUGUGGUAACAUGUAUAUUCUCAUUAUAUUCAGAUCUGUUUAUGUUUUGAUAGAUCCAGGAUCGUCACAUUCCUAUGUUAAUACAAAACUAGUUGAGACGAGAAAUUUAAAACUUGAACUGUCUAGAGUAAUGAUAGAAGUGUCUAGUCCAUUAGGGCAAACAAUGCUAGUGAAUCAAAUUUUUCGAAUAUGUCCAUUAAUAAUUCAAGAUAAAAACUUUUCUGCUGAUCUGCUGAUUAUGCCAUUUGGUGAUUUUGAUAUUAUAUUGGGGAUGGACUGGCUAUCAGAACAUGGAAUAAUUUUAGACUUUAAUAAAAAGAAAUUUACUAUUCAAAAUGAAGACAGUAAUCGGAUUGAAGUAAAUGGCAUUCGGACUAGUAGUUUAGCUCGAAUCAUUUCUGCAAUUAAAGCUAGUAAGCUUCUUUAUCAGGGAUGCACAACUUUCUUAGCAUAUGUUAUUAACUCUGAUUCAGUAGAGAAUCAGUGUAGUAAAAUUCGAACUGUAUGUGAAUUUUCCGAUGUGUUCCCUGAAGAAUUACCUAGAUUACCUCCUGAUCGAGAAGUGGAAUUUGUAAUUAAAAUAUAUCCGGGUACAGAUCCAGUGUCAAUACCUCCCUAUUGAAUGUCACCUAUUGAGUUAAAGGAGUUGAAAGUACAACUGCAAGAUUUAUUAGAUCGAGUUUUAUACGACCUAGUACAUCACCGUGGAGAGCUCUAGUAUUAUUUGUUAAGAAGAAAGAUGGUUCAAUGCGAUUAUGUAUUGAUUAUCAACAAUUGAAUAAGGUGACUAUCAAGAACAAAUACCCGUUACCUCGUAUUGAUGAUUUAUUUGAUCAAAUAAAAGGAGCUUCUGUGUUUUCAAAAAUUGAUUUGAGGUUGGGAUAUUACCAGUUGAAGGUAAAGGAGAGUGAUGUACCAAAGACAACAUUCCGUACAUAGUAUGGGCAUUAUGAAUUCUUGGUAAUGCCAUUUGGAUUAGCAAAUGUUCCAGCUGCCUUUAUGGACCUUUUGAAUCGGAUUUUUCAACCGUACUUGGAUCAGUUUGUAGUGGUUUUUAUUGAUGAUAUUUUGGUAUACUCAAAGUUUGAAGUUGAGCAUGAACAACAUCUUCGAAUGGUAUUGCAAAUAUUGUGAGAGAAGCAAUUGUAUGGAAAAUUGAAGAAGUAUAAGUUUUGGUUAUUGGAAGUUGUAUUUCUUGGUCAUGUAGUUUCUGCAGAAGGGAUUAGAGUAGAUCUAAAGAAGAUUGAAGUCAUACCUCAGUGGAAAGUUCCCAAAAAUGUGUCAGAGGUACGUAGUUUCCUCCGGUUAGCUGGAUACUAUCGAAGGUUUGUGAAUGGAUUUUCAAAGAUAGCUUUACUGAUGACCAAGUUGUUGCAAAAGAAUGUUUUGUUUGUUUGGAAUGAAUAGUGUCAGAAAAGUUUUGAAAAGCUGAAGCAGAUGUUAACAGAGACACUAGUGUUGACUUUGCCAGAAUCGGGAAAAGAUUUUGUUGUGUAUAGUGAUGUUUCAUUGAAUGGACUUGGAUGUGUAUUGAUGCAAAAUGGAAAGGUAAUUGCUUAUGCUUCACGGCAAUUGAAACCACAUGAACGUAAUUAUCUGACACAUGACUUAGAAUUGGCGGCCGUAAUAUUUGCUUUGAAGAUUUGGAGACAUUAUCUAUAUGGUGAAAAGUGUUAUAUUUACACGGAUCAUAAAAGUCUUAAAUAUCUUCUGUCACAGAAAGAGUUGAAUUUGAGACAACGUCAGUGGAUAGAACUUUUAAAGGACUAUGAUUGUGUUAAUGGCUAUCAUCCUGGAAAAGCUAAUGUAGUAGCUGAUGCACUGAGUAGAAAGGCUGCAGUUGAACUGAGAACAAUGUUUGCACUGCUUAAUAUCACGAAUGAUGAAGGUUUUUUGGCAAAGCUGAGAGUAAAACCAGUAAUGUUUAAUCAGAUCAGGUCAGCACAAUUGUCAGAUGACAAAUUAAUGAAAAAAAGAGAGAUGGUAAAGAACGGUACAGCAAAGAAUUUUAGAAUUGAUGAAAAUGAUUGUUUGAGAUUUCGGAAUCGGCUUUGCAUUCCAACUACUUCUGAAAUAAAGGAGUUGAUUAUUCAAUAAGCUCAUAAUGGCCAAUUUGCAUUACAUCCAGGAGGAACAAAGAAGUAUCGUGAUUUACGGGAACUAUAUUAGUGGUCGGGUAUGAAGAAAGAUAUAGUGGAAUAUGUGGCUAAAUGUUUAACAUGUCAGCGGGUUAAAGCUGAACACUAGGUUCUGACCGGAUUACUUCAGCCUAUUAAUAUUCCUGAAUGGAAAUGGGACUGCAUCAUGAUAUACUUUGUAACCAGGUUACCGUUGUCAGUAAGCAAGAAAAAUGCUAUUUGGGUAAUUGUUGAUCGGCUCACAAAAUCAGCUCAUUUUAUAGCAGUCAGAACUGAUUGGUCACUUCAAAAGUUGGCAGAAAUUUAUAUUUGGGAAAUUUUGAGAUUACAUGGUAUUCCUGUAUCGGUAAUUUUUGAUCGAAAUCCACGGUUUACAUCAAGGUUCUGGAAAUAGUUGCAUGAAUCUCUUGGUACAUGACUUCAUUUUAGUACAACUUUUCAUCCACAGACUGAUGGACAGUCAGAACGAGUCAUUUAGAUUUUAGAAGACAUGCUUCGAGCUUGUAUCAUUGAUUUUGAAUCAAGUUGGGAACAUUAUCUAUCAUUGGCUGAAUUUGUAUAUAAUAAUAGUUACCAAUCAAGUAUUCAGAUGGCACCGUAUAAAGCUUUGUAUGGUCGGAGAUGUCGAUCACCAGUGUAUUGGACGGAAUUGAGUAAAAGAAAAGUGAUUGGUCCAGAAUUGAUUCAAGAAAUGGAAAGCGCUGUUAAAAAGAUUCGAGAAAGGUUGAAAGCAGCUUUUGAUAGGUAGAAAUCAUACGCAGAUCUGAAACAACGGAACAUUGAGUACUCAGUUGGAGACAAAGUAUUUCUUAAAGUUUCUCCUUGGAAGAAAAUUUUGAGAUUUGGUCGAAAGGGUAAGUUGAGUCCACGAUACAUUGGGCCAUAUGAUAUUAUAGAAAGAAUUGGACCAGUGGCAUAUCGUUUAACUCUACCUCCCGAAUUACAAAAGAUUCAUGAUAUUUUCCAUGUUUCUAUGCUAAGAAGAUACCGAUCAGAUCCAUCUCAUGUGAUUUCAACUGAAGAUAUAGAGAUUCGACUAGAUGUGUCAUAUGAAGAAGAACCGGUUAAGAUAUUGGCACAUGAAAUAAAUGAAUUACGUAAUAAAUGAGUUCCCUUAGUAAAAGUGUUGUGGAGAAGUCACAAUAUUGAGGAAGCAACAUGGGAACUAGAAGAUACAAUGAGAUCACAGUACCCCCAUAUCUUUUCAGGUAAAUUUCGAGGAUGAAAUUUUUAAGGGGGAGAAUUGUAAUGACCGACAAUUACGGGUAUCGAAAACUGAAGGUUUGAAUGACUAUUUUCGUAAAAUAAAUUCGUAAAUAUUUAUUAGAAAUAUUUACGAUUGAUAGUUGAGUGAUUAAAUAGAGUUUAAUCUAGUGAAUUAGCUUGAAUUAAGAAUAAUUAGGAGAAAACCCUAGAUUGAAUAAAGAAUAAAAUUUUAAUUGAGGAUUAAAGAAAAGACAAGGGGUUAAUUUAGCAAUUAAACUAUAGUAAGACAAAUGUAUGGUAAAAAUAAAUAAAAUGUGUAAAAAUAUAAAUGGUACACACGUAAUAAACAUGUGUAUUUACUUAUUUUAUAAGAAAAUAAUAAUGAUUAAAUUAUAUUAUAAUAAUAUAAUAUAAUAUAGUAAUUAAAUAAAACAAAUAAAAGAAAAGAAAGAAAUAGAAAGAGGAUAGAAGGCACGAAAUAGCAGGGAAAGGAAAGGAAAGAAAAAGAAAAAGGAGAAAUUAGGGUUCUAAGGUUUAAAGCUUGAUUGGUAAGUCAAUUUGAUCCAUUUUCUUGUAAUUUUUUUGUCUAUGGAAUCCUAGGAAAAAAUAUUACUUGAGUUAUGUUGAAAUUUAGAAAGUUAUUGAAUUUUUAAAUGUUGAUUAAGUUGAAUAAAUGGAAGAAAUUAAGUUAGAAGUGGGAGAAGGAUUAAUUUGUAAAGAGAGAUAUAAGUUUUGUCAAAGUAGGGACUAAAUUGUAUAAAUUGUAGAAUUGAUGUUUUAUAUUGAAUAUUAAGAGUUGAAACUUGUUUAAAAUAGGUAUAAAAAGAGAAUACAGGAUUUAAUUGAAGAGAAAAGUAUGGUUAUGGUGGAAGGACUUAAUUGGAAAUAUAGUAAAAGUUAAAUGGAAAUAAAAGAAUGUGUUAUUAAAUAACAUGCAUUGAUAAUUUUAAAUGUUAAAUUUUAUGUAGCCAACGUAGCACCGUAAACAUCAUCGAAAAAGGGAAAGGAGAAAGUGAACGAGGAUAUCAAGUAAACUCGAGAAAUUCAGUUUGUAUUUCUAUAAACUAUGCUUAAUGAUUUAAUACAAUGUAAUUGCUAUUUUUAGCAGUUAGAAUGUAUAAUGAAUGAUAAAACAGAAAUUAUUACUGCUUUUGUAUUGAAGUGUAACGAUUUGUCUACCCUAUUAACAAGUGUCGGGCUAGUCGAAUAUAAUUGGCAUGCCAUAGGAUUGGAAGUGUUCUGAGAUAUUCCGACUGUGUGUCGAUGAGACACUAUAUGUGUCGACUACUGUGACUGUUCCGAAUUCGUUUCGAAGAGGUACUUUGUACCUAACUGUGACUGUUACUGCUACUGUUACUGUUACCCUACGGUGUAUUCUGGUUUCUGCCGAUGAAACACUGUACAUUAUCCCUGGUGUAUGGGUUGGAUCUGUGUAUCCGUUCAAGUCCGAGUCAGGUUAAUAGGGGUAAAUAAAGUACUGAAGACUGAAUGUUAUCGUUUAUAUGGCUAAUUUACGAUGUUGAAAGAUAUUGAAUGAUAUGAAAUAUUUAUGAAUUUCUUUUCUACAUGAAAAAGAUACGAAAUGAAUUUGAAAGACGAAGUUACUAAGAUUAUGAAAGUAAAAGUUUAAGUUAGAAUGUUUAUUCAAAGUUUAUUAUUGUUUAAGUAUUAGUUUAUAGGAAUACCACUGAGUACAUAUUUAGCAUACGGUUUGUUUCCGUGCGCAGGUUAGGUACAAAGUAGAUAAAGUCUCAGCAUCCGAGCCAACUCCUGAACUCAAUACUUGGUGAUGUAUCUAUCUAUGAUGAAUGGCAUGUACCUAGGUUGUUUAAUGUUAUUUUGGUUAAAAGCUAUGUUAAUGAGGAGUGAUAAUGGAUAGUUAAUAGUUGUAAAGAGAAUACUAUAAUGUGUAAUCUUUUGAAUUGAAUACAAUGGCACAUGGGUGCAACUUUGAAUAGUUUAGUUUAAGGCAUUAUUGAGUAUAUGUGUUAGAUUAUGAAAUGAUAGUUUAAUGAGUAUUAAGUGUGUUUAAUUAUAUUUGGAUUGGUUGAAUAAAGAAAUUUUGUAGUACUUGUUUUCUACAAAUUAUAGGGUUGGUAAAUUUUAAAAUACUAGGUUCAUUUUAAGUCUACAUGGUUUGUCACACUGGCGUGUGACCAAGCCGUGUGAGACACACAGCUUGCACAUGGGCGUGUUGUUAGGCCGAGUGUCCCCUGCACCUAAAUAGUUACAACCAAGUUAGUCCACGGGCAUGUGCCUUGGUUACCACGGCCGGGUCUUAAAGUCAGUGUUGAACACGAGUUGAGAACACGAGCGUGUCCCAAGACACACGGGCGUGUUAAUUUGGCCACACGGGCGUAUGGUACUGUUCAAAGGAGGAAAAAUUUGAAAUCGAACGAGAAAUUUUCUAAGCCUACAAUCGAGCCCCGAUUUAUUUUAAUUAUAUUUAAUAGGUAUUGUGGGCCCAUUAAAGCUAUGUUUGGAUGUAUUAAAUUUCAUUUAUUCAUGUCUUAGUGUAAAUGUAUUGAAAUGACCGGUCAUACUCUGUGAUCCUGUUCUGGCAAUGGGACGGGGUUAAGGGUGUUACAAAUAUAUAAAUUAAGUGUUGGAAGAAGUGAUUGGGAAGUUGACGCUUCUUCAAGCAUUACGAAACAAAGAAUAAAAAUAGGAGACACAGAUUGUUUAUAUAGUUCAGUUUUCCUACGCUUGCAGAGUUUACCUUAAUGAGAAAUAUCUACUUCUCAUGAUACAACAUAGUCUCAUUAAUUCCAUUCUUUUCUCUGAGAACCCUAACCCAUAAGGCUUCAAUCUUAGUGAUAAGUCUGUAACACAUUUUCAUCAUGAAGGUUUUAUUUUGAUCACAUGAAGGAUGAAAACCAAAACCUAUACGUAAUCUAGAUUGACAAAUAGAUUCCCACCCGAUUAAAGCCAUUUUCCUUUUCCCAUCAAAAGCAUCCCAAAUGAAUUGCCUUGCCAUUUAUUCAAUUGAGUUGCAAAUACCUUUCGAAACAAAUAGACUACAUAAGAUAGCUCGGGAUAGUCAAUAGAAUCGUUUGUGCUAAAGUGACCCUCCUUGCAAAGGAAAUUUUUUAGCGUCCUAACUUGAUAAGCGGUUGUAAACUCUUUCUACCAAGAAAUUCAAAGUGCUUUUUGUAACUCUUUGAUGAAAAAGAAGGACACCUAGAUAAUGCCCUAGAUCAUUAACUUCUUGGAAACCAGGGAUACUAUUGAUACCUCUUAUUAAAUCUUCCCUUAACACCAGCAGAGUAAAAGACAUUAGUCUUCCUAGCAUUAACCUUAUGACUAGAAAGCUCACAAAAGUUAUCUAGAAAAUUUUUUAGAAGAUCAUGCUCUUAAUUAGCUUUACUAAAAUUCACUAAAUCAUCUGUAAAGGAAAGAUGUGAGAGAUUUGAAUUGGAAUGUGGUAAUCAAAUAGGGCUUCACUUUCCUGAUGAAAAAACUGAAUGAAAGUGAUGCCCUAACCACUCCAUGCAUAGGACGAAAAGGUACGAGGACAAAGGGCAUCCUUGAUGUAUUUCCCUUACAUGCUUGAAUUUGGAAGUUGGAGAUCUAUUCCACAGAACAUGCACGGUAAACAUUGAAAUAACAUUCAUAAUAACCUGAAUUUAAUAAAAAGGAAUACCUACUGCAUUAAGUGAAGCUUCGACAAAGUCCCAACGCACUCGGUCAUAAGCUUUCUUCAAGUCUAUCUUGACAGCCAUCCAUUGGAGAUUUUUCUUAAUUCUCAGAGAAUGUAAGACUUCAUGUGCAAUGACUACGUUAUCAAUGAUACUUCUCCCCGUUAUAAAUCUUGCUUGCUCUUGGCCAAUGAUAUUCAGAAAUAUGCUUUUAAACUUGUUCGUAAUAACCUUCAUAACCAACUUAUAUAACACAGAACAAAGGCUAAUGGGUCUGAACUGCGGGAAAUUUUUAGGAUUUGAAACUUUGGCAAGUAAGACAAUAAGGGUAUUAUUAAACUUUGAGUUUAUAAUUCCACCUUCAAAAAUCUUCCUAACCCACUCAGAGAUAGCUCCUCCUAUGUUAUCCUACUAAGUCUGAAAGAAACAUGCGUGAAAACCAUCACUUUCUAGAGUCACUUUCUAGAGCCUUUAGUGGAGCCAUAUUAAAAAGGGCAGUCUUGAUUUCUUUAUUAAACACAUCCCUCCAACCUUAUCGAUUAAGACUCGGAAAGCCACUUAAAGGUAAAUUCUCUGACAGGUUAGGAGUUUCUCCAUAAAGAUUCUGAAAGAAUUUAACUGCUUCUGUUUUAAGGACAUAAGGUUCAAAAAUCCACUCCCCAUCCAAAUUACAUAAAACUAUAAUUCUAUUAAAAUUCUUUUUCUGAAUCGCGUAUCUAUGAAAAUACUUGGUGUUUCAAUCCCCUAAUUUUAACCACUCACAUCUCGAUUUUUGUUUCCAAAGCAUCUCCUCGUGAUAAAGAAUAUUCCCAAUGUCCCCUUAGACCUUCGAUUCACGUUGCACCGAGAAUUAGUACUAGGCAGGUCCAUCACUCAUUGUAAAAUUUGUUAAAGUUUGAAACCUAGAUCACGUUGAUUUCUCCACCAUAGUACUCUUUCCUUUUUUGUUGUAUUCCAGUGUAGCACGUUUGUUUCUCCUUUCCGCCAACAUCCAUGGCCAAAAAUCCCCAUAUCUGAUUGUUGUAUUUUUUUGGGUUUUUUUUGUCGAUGGUUCCACCUCAUUCGUCGACUAGUUAAUAUAGGUAACAUACGGACAUUUUUCAUUAUUAUGCCCAUAACGCCUACACGAGAAGCACACCACAAGUAAACUCUUAUACUCGACUCUUUGUAAAUUUCAAUUGAUAAGCAGCUUUGAAAUCAAAGGUCUCCCUAGAUUAACGUAAAUGCCAUUCUUGCAUAUCGACUUCUUGCCCUACUAUUAGUGUUGAAAUCCAACUUUGUGACCUUACCAACCAUUCCCCCAAUCUCUCAUAGGAUCUCUUUUUUGUACAAGUGACUGGAAAGAUCUGGAAAUCUGAUCCAAUUAAGAACUGUAUUAGGGUAGGGUAAUGUUGGAUCAAAAUCAAUUGUCCAUGGUUGAACUGUAAGGUAUUGAGAAAAAAUAAGUCACGAACCUUGUGUGAAGAUUUUUUCAUAGUCUUUAGAACUUUGGAAUUUGGCUAAAAAAUAACCAUUUUCAAUAUCCAUCAAUUGAAAUGGUUUGGCAGGUCUCCAUAUUCCUUAUAAUCUAUUUUGCAAAGAUGUAAACCCGAUAUUUCGUCCCAGCAUCUUAAGAACCACAAAUGUGGACAUUUCCCUUUCAAGAAGUUGAAAAAUUCUCUCUGAGAAAUUAAUGGAGGGAAUACCAUUUGUACAAGCCCAAUUUUGGGCCCAAAACCAACAACCCACUAAACCUAACAGAAGCCCAAACUAAACAAACAACUUACCCACAAACCCAAAACAUACUCAACCCAAACACACAACGAAAGAAAAAGCCAAGGAAACCCUAGCAGUUUAGCUGCUGCCUCCUUGUCCCAUCCACCGACGCCUGCAGCACCGCCCCAUCGACGUCCAAGUUGCACCCCUGUAGACAUUAAAGAGACAGGACAGAAAGCAAAAAAAGAGAAAUGUAAGGGCUAUUUAAAAGCCAAAUCCAAAAACUGUAGAUUCAUUCGGUACUCUUAUGAAAUAACAAGCAAUAUUAGACCUUUUUAAAAAAGGGAAAAGAGAAAAACUCAAAAUCGCAGCAAAAACAGAACGGAGAACAAAAAUCGAAGGUUACCCCUAUUUCUCCUUAUUUUCCUUAUUUUCUUUUGAAUCUGUUCAUACCCACAAUUUUCACCUUAUUUAAAACAGCAUAUAUAUUAAAUAUAAAUAUAUAGAAGACGAAAAAAGGGGAGAAAAUUAUACCUCGAGGCGAUUUCCGGCCACCGUGACACGGCGGAGCCACGGCGGGGGGAACGGCCGGAUUCUUGACCGGUUCUGGAUUCUUCCAGAGAAAAAAAGCUCUCCCUUUUCUUUUUUUUUCUCUUAAACUCAGACCAAAUGAAAAUUUCAAAAAAAAUUGACCUUUAUAAGCCCCUGGUACGGCGUCAUUUUGGGGCUAACAUUUAGCACCCAAAACGGCGUCGUUUGGAAGUUGACCCGAGGACCCGACUCGCUUGUGCCAAGGAUCCGCGUGUUUUGGGACUGAGGGUCUAUUUGCGCUCUCAGUCCCUCCGCUUUUGAGGCUGGUUUCCAUCUGGUCCUAUCUCGUUUCUUUGAUAUUUCUAAAUUUGAUCGCUUCUUUUGUUUUUGUUACAAUUUGGUCCCUAGACCACUCAAAUGGCCAAGUACCCGAACGGUGCCGUUUAUGGGUAUGGGUUAAUUUCCUAUGUGGCCCCUGUAUUUCUGCUUGCGAUUCAUUUUAGCCCUUCAAUCUGCAUUUCGCUAUUUUUAUUUCAAAAUCUAUACUCGAACUUUUGUUUCUUCAUAAUUUAAUCCCAUUUCUUUAUUAUUACUAUUAUCAUUAUUAUUUGUUGCUUAAUUUAUUAUUGUUUUUAUUUUUAUCCUCAUUAUUAUUAUUAUUAUUAUUACUAUUAUUUGAUACUAUCAUUACUAUUAUUAUUCUAAUUACGAUUAUUAUUAUAUAUAUACAUACCUUUUAUUAUUAUUCAUGUACAUAUAUUUUAAAUAUUAUUACCAUUAUUAUUUUUAUCACUUACAUGGUUAUUAUUAUUCUAUUAAUAUAUACUUUAUUGCAUGUGUACGUAUAUACAUUUCUUUUUAUGUAUAACUAUCAUUUUCAUUACUUUAUUUUAAUAUUACUAUCAUAUUAUAUUUACUUUUUGUAUUUUAACAUUAUUAUUAUUAUUAUUAUUAUUGUUAUCAUAUAUUAAUGCAUGCUUUUAUGUAUAUAUAUAUAUACAUAGUAUUGUUCCUGUAUUACUUUAAUUAAAUAUUUAUCAUAUUUACUUUUCGUAUUUCUAUAUCAUUAUUAUUAUCAUCAUCUUUGUAAGUACUAUUACCAUUGUAUUAUAAUUAUUAUUAUACUUUUAUUUUCUUAUUAUUCAUCUAUUAUGUUUCUUAUCUAUUCAUGUUUCCAUUAUUAUGCUGUAUCUAUUAUUUAUUAAUAUUUUAUUAUUACUAUUAUUAGCAUUAGCAUCAUUUUAUCAAUACUAUAUUAUGUAUGUAAUUUCUAAUGAUUAUAUUAUGUAUGUAUUUCAUAUAUAUAUAUCCCAUGCAAAUACAUUUUUAAUAUCAUAAUUGCUAUAUGUAUAUAUGUAUAUUAUGCAUAUACUUUAAUACUUCGUAUAUAUUUCAUUUCUGUUAUUACAUAUAUAUUUUAAUACAUCUAGGUAUAUUUACGUAUCAUACUAUUAUUAUUUAUGUUUUUGCUAUCAUUAUCAUUAUCAUCGCCACUUUUAUCUUGUCAUGUUUUAUAAUUGCUCAUUUAUUCAUUUAAGUAUUUGCUUAUUUCAUUUUUCCUACGUAUUCAUCUGUUAGCCUUAUAUUUAUGUCCUCUUUAUCGUAAUCGCUCAUAUUAUUGUCAUUGACAUUGUCACACUCAUUAUUGUGCAUUACUAUUAAUACUAUAAUUUGCUUUUAUAUUCCACCACAAAUCACAUCAUACUUUUUACCCGAUAUCUUAAAAUUCCUUCAUAAAAGCGAUAUCCGGUAUUAGGAAAUUUGAGAUAAUCGUGCCCUAACUUACUGGGUUUCGAUUUUUCUCAUUUAACCUAAGUAACGGGAUACUCUUUUAAAUCGCUAUACGAGUUUUAGAAAAAUGCUUAUUCUCGGAGACACGAAUCGUCGUGCCCUAACUUACCGGGUAUGACAUUUUUGUCACCUUGAAAGAAGAAUUUGUUUUAAAGGCAAUAUUCGGUAUUUGAAGAAUUUGAGAAACGUGCCCUAACUUACUAGGCUUCGACUUCUCUUGUUUACUCUAAAUAACCGAAUACCCUUUUUAUAAGUUAAAAUACAUCGAUUUUAUAUAAAAAGCAAGCUCAUUCUCAGAAAUUCGAGAUGUCGUAUCCUAACUCACUGGAUAUGAUGUAUCAUUGCCUCGAGACGAGAGUGUCUUUAACGUUUUAAUGUUUAUUUUAUAAAAAAGGGAUCGUAUAUCAAAGUCUUUCAAGUUCUCAAUUUUCGACAAUUAAGACACUAAUUAAUCAACUAGGUACCAAUUUUGGGCGUAUCGAGGGUGCUAAUCCUUCCUCGUGCGUAACCGACUCCCGAACCUGUUUUCUUGAUUUGCGUAGACUAAAAUUGUUGUUUAAAUAAAUCAAGCUAUUUAUUAAAAACAGCCAUUUUAACGAGGUGACCCAAUCACACCUAGUCAAAAAGGAUCGGUGGCGACUCUCGUUCUUUUAUUUUUAAAAUCCAAGUCGAUUCCCGUUUUUCAAAAAAAUGGUUACGACACCAUUGAAGACUGAUUUUUUAACAUCCUCUUUUGAAAGAGAAAAGCUUUCAUAAGCAUGAUGACUUCCGUUAACUCUUUUAUGUUUAAGAGUCCUUUUCCCCAAUAACAAAUCUUUUCAAGAUAGAGAUGGUGUCGAGGUAGAGUCUGCAAGCAUCACAUCUUUUGGAUUUAUCUCCGAUUCCUUGAAUCGGACCUUCUUUGUAUUUGGAUCUUCAGAAGGAUUAUCGCCUUCACCAUUCUUAUUUCAAGAAAAAUUCGAAGUAGUCGAGAGUAUUUUUUUCGUUAAGUCACAUUAAUUAUUAGAUUUUGAUCAUUGAAAGAUGACAUUUUUACUUUUUGAAACAAAUAAAUAUUCUAAUAUGAAAUGGUUGGUUCAUUAAUUUUAUAAAUUAUUAUGUUAAUAUUAAUUCUAUAUUUUAAUAUUUCUAAUAUUGCAUUAAUUAUUUAAAAUACAUAUUAUGAAAGGAAUCAUGUAGAAAGAAUGAAAUUUAGAGCCGCAUAAAUAUAGGUGAAUAUACUGGAAUUUGAUCAAAUUAGUCUUUCUACUAUUAAAUGUGUAAUUUAAUCAUUUUAUUAAUAAAAAAAAUCAAAUUAGACCAAAUUAGAAUAGGGUUAACAUUUAUUAUUUAAAAAAUGAAAUAAAAAUUAUUUUUUCAACUCCAAAAAGAAUUAUUAUGUCUGCAGAAUAAUAAAAUGUUUUCAAAGUAUAACUAUAUUAACUAAUAAACAUUAACUCUACCCUAUAAUAAAUUAAUUCAUUUAAUAAUAAUAAAACUUACCAGAUAUAUUCACCUAUAUAUAUAAUUGCUGUCCUUGAAGAUUUGAUUAUUUAUUUUGCUGUAAAAAAAGAAAGAGGAAAAGGGAUGGUAUUUUGUUAAAAGUGAUGCAAGAUCCUUAUGCUUUGAACACGGCUAGUCUUCUCCUCAAUUAUUUUAUUAUUAUAUUGCUUCAAUUAUAGCUUAGGAUAUCCUUUUGCUUUCUUUGGCCUCCUUCCCAUUGCUUUUAAUUUUUUUUUUUAAAAUUAAUUAAUUUACUGCCAAUUCCCAUUGCUUAGUUUUGCUUUUGGUUGGCCUCCGUCUUUAAUUACACGUUGUUUCUUCAAUUAAUGUCUUCCUUUUUUGUAUUUGUCGAUAAACUUAUGAGUUGAGGGACCUCAUCGCCACUAAUUGGGUCCUAUAUCAAUGAUUUAUGUAUAUUUAAUUAUAUUUCAUAUUUUGUAUAAUAGUAUAAAUAUCAAUAUAAAACAAGGUAUUAAACAUGUGGCAAUUAAAUUUUAAUAGCGAUAACAAAGAUCAAGAUCUUGAAAUCUCAUUAUUUGUAUUUACAUAUGUAUAGUGUAGGUUUUCAAAUCACAUUUUAUUUUGAUUUCAAGUCUCAUCAUAUUCACACUCUGUCCAUAUUGAUUUUAACCUAUAUAUUUUUACAUUAUAAUAGUUUAACUCUUGUCAUAAUUAUAUAAAUUUGAUGUGUCGUUGAAAGAAUAAAAAAUAACUUAUCCGUGUGGAAUAUCAAAAAUAAUAGUAUAAAGGAAGUAGGGUAAUGAACCUUUUUUGAGAACCUCGAUAAUCUUUGGCUAAAUGAAUUUAGUGGUUCAGAAUAGAAUUUUAUUGAAAAAUAAAAGGAACAAAAUGGCUAGAACCUUAAAGAAAUGAGUUUUUUUUUUUUACAGAAAAGAUGAUUGAAUAUUUAUGUCACUCCAUCCUCUAUUUAUAGUACAUGUAAAACUUAGUUUGUUCCUAUUUAAUCCCUAAAAAAUAAAUGAAGAUAAAAGCUGAAAUUAAAUCUAAAUAAUAAUCCUAAUAAAAUUCAAAUUUAAAUAGAGUCUUAUGUUUAUAAAUCUCUUCUUUGAAUUUUUGUCCCCAAAUCUUUCACACUUUGUAUUUUAGGCACCACUUCUUUCCUAUUUCGCAUGUUGACUCAUUUUGUCUUUAAAUUCAUGCUUUUCACCCUCAAAUUUCCUUUUGCCUUCAAUUUAGUCCCUACAAGUUAAGAAACCAUAAAAAGUCUAAAUUAGUAGGAUCAUACUCAAAAUAUAUAUGUAAUUAACACAUAAAAAUAUGGCAGUUUAAAGUACUAUCAAGAUUAUACUUGUAAUUCUUUAAUUGUCUAUUUGUACUUUGUAAUAAUUUAAUUGUCGUACCGAAUUAUAAUUUAAUUUUGUUUUACAUUGUAGUAUUGAUUCUAAUUAGAUUUGUAGUUAUAUGAAAAUUGCCUUUAUGAUUGAAAUGUGUAAUUUCUGCAAACAUUUUUCCAUUAAAUAAUUUUAACCUGGCUAACAUAUAGACAUUGUUUUUUUUUUCUGUUUAAGAAGGUAAAAUGUCCUCAAAUUUUUUUUUUUAAAAAUUAACCUCCUCCUUCUUUUAGGGCCAUUUUCUUUUCAAGGUUUUGCCCAUUUUUAAUCUCUAUACAUUCAAUAAUUCUCCCUAGUUUUCAAUGUUUAUUCUUUUUCUAACCCCUUUUUUUCCCUGAACUUUGUUGUGCAAUUUAAAGUCUUCCUUUGGGUAAAUUAUAAAGAUGGUUACCCAAUUUUGGUUAAAUUUAUUAUUUUCACUAAAUUAUAAAAAGUUGUAUUUCAGUCACUAACAAUAUCAAGUUAUAAUGUUUUAACUACUCGUCCGUUAACAGUCGUUACAUCCUUAAUAGAAAAUGAUGUGGCAUGUUAACUCAAGGGUUAAUAUUUAAUUUAACCUUUGAACUAUAGUUAAAACAUUCAACUUGAUUCUUCUGCAACUUUUUUAACAAUAAUUCUAAAAAAAAUCAUUAAAAACUCUAAAAAAUAAAAAAAUCAAAAAAAUUAAUUAUUGUUUGAAACUAUAAAUUAAUAUAUUUUUGUAACUUUUAUAUAUAGGUUAAGUUUCCAAAAUUAUAAAAAAAUCAAAAUAUCAAAAAAAUUCUUUAAAAUAAUAUGAAAUUUCAUUAUUUAUUUUAUUGAAAUUAUAAAAAAUUAUUUUUCAAAAAUUACAAUUAUGUAAAAAAUUAAAUUUCAUAAAUUUCUAAAUAUAUAUUUAUUCAUAUAUAAGUGUUACAAAUUUGAUAAAUUAUAUUAGAAAUCCUAUCUCAGUCAUCUGUAUGUGAAAAUCACAAAUUUAAAACAUGAGUUUGUGUUUAAAAAUGAAAUUUAAUAAAUAAUGAAACAGAUAAUUUAAAAAUAAUUAUAUUAUUUACAUUAAUUAUAAAUUUAUUUAUUAUUUGAACCAUUAAUUAAGAUACUAAAAUAAAUAUUUAUUAAUUAACAAUUACAUAUAUCAUGGUUUCAGUGUAAAGAAUAAAACUAUUGUUAAUAUGCUGAUGAAAUGACCUUUUUGAUAUAAUAUAUUUCAAAAAAUCUAAUAUGCUUUUUAAAAGAGUAAGAUAGUGUUUGAAAAGCCACUUAGUAUUUGGAUUUGAUUGUAAUUUUAUCACUCAACUUUUAGAACAUUUUCAUUUUAGUCAUCCAAGGGUUAAAUUCUUAAUGCGGUUGACUAUGUACACAAAAUCAUGUUUAUAUUUUCAUUUUUGUCAUCUAACUUUUAGGUCGCUUUCAUUUUGGUCACCGAAAAAAUAAUUGAUUUUGAUGAUACUAUCAAGGGAUAAAAAAUUGGUUGACACUUUUAAAGGAUAAAUUUGUUUCAACAAUUUACUUUUAUUGAUUUUGAUGUUUUGAAAUUUAAAUUUUUAAUAUUGAAAAAAAUAGAACUUUCGAAAAUGGGGUAAACAAAUACAAUUUGACAAUUUUUUAAUGUAUUAUUUUAGUUUCUAUUUUUUUUUUCACUUUAAUCCUUAAUAUUAUUUUUACCCUAAUCAAUACUAAAAAAUUAUCUUUUUAGGAGACCAAAAUGAAAGUGUAAACAUGAUGUGACAUAUAUAGUCAAUAGUCGUUAGAGAUUUAAUGCUUGGGUGACUAAAAUAAAAAUACCUUAAAAGUUAGAUGAUGAAAUUGCAAUAAUUUCUUUUGGAUAACCAAAAUAAAAGUGUCUUAAAAGUUAAGAGACUAUCUAGGUAGUUUACUCAUAUAAUUAUAUACAAAUAUAAGCUUUAAAAGUAUUAAUUACAUUUAAUAACUUAAUUUAAUAAUUAUACUUUAAUUUUAAAUGUAAUUAUAAAAAUUAAAAUAUUUAAGAAAAAAAGUUUAAAAAUUAAAUUUAAAAUAAUAAAAUAUUGUACCAAUCAAUACAGAUUGGUAAGAACCAAUAUAAGUCCGUAUUAAUCAAAACAAGUGGAAACACAUCCAAAUAUUAAUCAUAAUGGAACCUAGACUGCUUCAUUUUGAUUGAAGAGAAAAAAGAUACAUAUCAAGUGUGUUUCCCUGUACCUUUUAUGUACCAGUUUAUGUUUUUGUUCUUUUAAUAAGAUUUGUUUGGCUUAUAAAAAAUUAUUUUUAUUAAAAUAAAAUAAAAUAAAAUAAAUGAGAUCAAAAUUAGCUAAGUUUUGGUAUUGAGCAUUUAAUAAUUUGUACCUAUAUUCUUGAAGAAACAAUUUGUACCUAUACGAUUUCAUAAAAUUAGUUCAAAUUAUAAUCAAAAUUUAGUGUAACUUAUUCGAAAUUAAAUAUAUUGCUAAUUGAUAUAAUUGAGAAUGAUUAUACGGUUGAUACUAGUUUUUUUAAACUUCGUUUAAUACAUAAUUUAUGCAAGCAAGACUGACAACUUAAAUUUUGGCAUGUCUCACGAGAGCAUAAUAGACCAAUGGAUUGCAUGACCAAAGUUGUUCCUAAUGAACUUAACAGAUUAUCAAAAUUUGAAAACCCAGUUGAUCAUGCUCAAUUUUUGCUUGAAGAAAAUGCUCACCGAACAAUGAUUAAUAUAGAAUCCUAUCAGUCUUAUUAUAGCUAAUUUUUUAAACUUGUUCCUUCAAAAAAGAAGUUCACAAAAUUUAGAUACAACUGUUACUAAACUUUAUAGGAAAACAAAACAUCUGUAUAAAUAUUUAUCAAAGACAUUGCUAGAAAGCAAAGCUCAUAUUUAUUUUAGUCAAAUUAACAACUGCCUCGUCAUCGAACUCGUUCCAUAUCCUUCAGUACUUUGAUCUUCUUUAACUUUAUAACAAUCUCUUUCAUAUGAAGCUUCUCAUUUGGUAACUCUACACAAUAUUCUAAGCCAACUUCCAAAAUGGAUAAGGCACAAUCCUUGACUUUUAAAUGUUCCCUUUCAAUGUUGUUCAACAACUUGGGAUCUAUAACUUGAUUUAGCGAAGAUGAUAUGGACUCUAUCACCAAACUGUUCAAGCUUCUUCCUCCUACAAACAUAUCAUCUAUGGGCUUUUUUCUUGUGACGAUUUCCAUCAAAAGAAUACCAAAACUAUACACAAUUCCUUCGGUUCCAUAUUCUGUGUAUGAAUUUCAAACAACAUUAUAAGCAUUCAAAGAUAUCUUGAUAAUGAAAAAUUCCUAUAAAAUAUCUGAAAGAUUAUAUGCUUGCUUGUUAUAACUAAAUUGGGAUUUAAUCUAGUUGCUUCUUUAAAAAGUCACAUUCAAUGUGUUUGAAACUCAAAUGUUAACAGAUACCAUAUGCUACACUUACAUUGAAAAUGGAAAAAUAAACAUGGAGUUUGAUUAGAAGUAUCAUCUGAUGCCAUAUAUCCAAAUGUUGCCAUUGUCAUGGUUUGUAUCAUUGAAACAUCUUCACAUAAGAGUUUGGCGAUGCCAAAAUCACUCAAAUGCGCAACCAUAUCUCCAUCUAAUAAAACGUUGUUGGGUUUUAAAUCACACUGAACCACGGGUGUUGCAUUACCAUGAUGGAGAUAUUCCAAUGCAGAUGCAACAUCUAUCAUUAUGUUCAACCUUUGUAGGAUAUCUAAAUAUUGGUUGUUGGAAUAUAACCAUUUAUCAAGAGUCCCAUUAGGCAUGAACUCAAGCACCAAGGCUUUGAAAUUAAGAUCAUUCGAGCAACUGCUUAUUACUUUGACAAAAUUUCUGUGACGAGUGUUAAGGAGAACAUCACAUUCAACAUCAAAGCUCUUAAAAGCUCCUUCUAACUCUAACUUGAAGACCUUUACCGCAAUUACCAUCCCAUCCUGGAGAGUCUCUUGGAAUACUGAACCAUAACUUCCAUUACCAAGCAACCUACUAUCAUUGAAUCCGUCAGUAGCUGGACGAAGCUCGUGGUAUGAAAACCGUCUCCACGUUCCUAAAGGUAUCAUGUCUUCUUGAGUUGGUAAUUUGUCUUUCCUCCUCCUGUUUUGCAAGAUAAUGGUUAUCAGAGCCACAACCAAAAUUGUGGAGGCAAUUGGCGGAGCUACAUAUAUUAUGAGUUUCAGCUUAGUUUUUGCCUUGGAAUUUCUAAUAGGUCUAGUUUUGCAGUUUGGAAUAUGGAAGUCGAGUUGCACCACACAAGGCUUCAUUACCCUUAAAUGAUUCAAUUGUGUAGUUUUCAAAUGGUCCUCAUUCAGGAAUUUCUCCUUCAAGUCCAUUAAAAGAGACAUUGAAAUAUUUGAGAUAACGGAGUUUCUCUAAGGAUUUGGGAAUCUCUCUAGAUAAAAUAUUUCUUGACAAGUCCAAGAAUUCCAAACUCAAUAAUUCAUCAAAAGACUCAAGAAUAGAACCCAUGAUUCUAUUAUUGGAUAAGGAAAAAUGAGUGAGGUCCUUAGAUCUACAACUCCAGUUGGGAUAUCACAUGAGAACUGAUUGUUCGACAAAUCCAAACUAGUCAAAACUUUUCAUUUUCCAAUGUCAAUUGACAGUGGACCACUCAAAGAAUUUGAAGACAAGUAUAGGAUGAGGAGAUAGUUAAGCCUUGUCAACGUGUAAGGUAUUGAGGAAGAAAAUAUAUUAGAGUCUAGAAAUAGGUUCCUUAAUGAAGUGAGAUCACCUAAGCAAGCAGGUAUUGGUCCAGACAAUUGGUUAUUGGUCAAGAACAAGAAAGCCAAUUUGUCUAGAUGACAUAACUCAAAUGGGAUGGACCCCUGUAACUUAUUGUCCUCAAGAGAAAGACUUUGCAACUCUUCCAAUCCUCCAAUUGUAGUAGGAAUCCGUCCUCUCAAUUUAUUGCCUCCUAGCUCAAUAUUUAUCAAGUGAAUUAAGUUUCCAAUUUCACUGGGGAUGCUACCCCUGAUGUUGCAUGAAUAAGCAGAGAACUCGGCAAGAGAACUAAAGAGAUUUCCUACCACUCUUGGAAGUUCACCACUAGUAAAUGGGUUGGCACUGAAAAGUAAGUUCUCCAAGCCUUUACAGUUUGUCAAAGAAAAGAGAAAGCUCAUUCCCGCGGAAGUUAAAUUAUUAUUCACCAGGGUUGAGAAACUUUAAAUUUCUUAGAUUGCCCAGAUUAUCACGAAUGGACCUUGAAAAGUGAUUAUUAGACAUGUCAAUAUUAGUAAGCCGAGAGGCAUUGGAAAUAUAGAUUGGGAUCGAGCCGACAAGGUUAUUGCUACCAAGAUAUAAUUCCUCCAUGGUUGGAAGGAAAAGGCCCAUGUUUGAUGGAAGAUGGUCAGAGAGUUGCCAUUAUUUAGCCAUGUUAGGCCAACAGUAAUCUCUCACAAAAGGAAAUUAUAGGGUUCCUUAAAUCAAGAAUUAAAAACGUUUCAUUUUGUCAUUUUGCCCUGACGCAUGAAUGAAUAUUAGUAGAGAAAGUCCACAAUAGUGAACAAAAUUUAAAUACAUCAAGAAAAGCCACAUAAACAUAAAUUGUUUUUCUUUUUUUUUAAAAGGGAAACAGAUAAAAAAAAUGUCGGAUAAUGUGAGGUGCUUACUUCGCUGAUAAUCAUUGUUAAAAGUUCAAAACCCAAACAAACGGCAUAUAACGGGAAAUGAUCUCCCCUAUCGUUCUUCUCUAUAACUUUCUGCAAAAAACACAGAAUAAUAAUUUUACGUGCAACCCAAGGAAAUUGGAAAUAUAAAAACAUUUGAAGCAUAAGUUGAAGAAACAAUAGAUUUACCUGCUAACACCAAUCUCUUGCCUAGAUUUUUGUCUUAGUUUCAUGUGAAUUUCACAAAAUCAAGAAACAAACAAAUAUAAAUAUAAAUUACCUUGAAAAUCCUUUUAGCAAUAUCAUAAUACAAGCCGUAUUUAGACCACCCUCCUGUAAAAAGCACGCCAUUAACCAAUUCAAGCUUCUGCAAUACGAAGGUGGAGAAGAGACUUAGCAAGGUGACAGGCUUUUGGCAAAGGAAGGCAACAACUAUGCUAAAGCAGGUAUCAUAGCAUCAUAAAACUGUCUAAUCGUAGCAAAUCAAAGCAAGGAAAUGAAAGGCAUAUGCAUAUGCAAUCAACCAAGCAAUCAAAAUAUCAUUUCAAAUAUUAAGGUACUAAAGAAUAUCCACAAAAAUGCAACUAGGCUAAAAUUCGAUCCUUUGCAUAGACAGUAAGGAGAUUGCAACAACUGGUAGUAUCCUAAGUUUAUGAUUUAACAAAAACCAGAGAAUUUUUGUGUACAUUUAAUAAAGAGGAAAAACUUAUUAUGAAACAAAAUAUUAAAAAUUCACAGUAUCAAAUUUUACCUAACAAAAGGAAAAGAUUUUUCAUGACCAGAUAAGUUAUUUAAAAUUCUAAAUCAGGAAUUUUUCUGUCCAAAAAUAGAUUUACCAAAAAAAAUAGACAGUCUAUUUUUUUUAUCCGAAUUUAAAAAAACACACACACCCCCAAAUAUUCAAAGUCAAAUUCAGCAUUUAUGCAAGGAAAUGAACAUCAUGAUUAUUACCUGGAAAAGAAUCUUUUCCGGCUCAUUAUAAAUAAGAGGAAUGACUCGAGCCCCAGCCGCUUCCACGAACUUCACGUACGACGCAGCUAUGUAGGAAGCGUUAGUAUCAUUGUUCAGCCUCCCCGACGCGGCGUCUCCCGGAUGACUCAGUAUCCCAAUCACAGGCCGAUAAUAUAGCUUCGGGUCAGCAUUCGCGCAACUCGAAAAGGAAAUUAGUGAAUCAUCGGCCGAGCCGUCGCCGCGUUGACUCGGGAGGAGGAGUCCAGUUGAGGUUUGAGCUUUAGCAAGGGAGAGUUCUUUGGUGAGGCAGAGGAGCAUGGGGACAAAAAAGUAAUUCCACAUGUCCGGAGAGGAGGAGGAGGAACAAGAAGAGGAAGGGGAAGGCACGGUGUCGUUUGCAGGAUCGGAGGAUGAAGGGUUAGAGCCAAACAAGGAGGGCAUUUUGGAGAACUGACAUAUAAACAGAACGAAAGAAAAACAAAGGAAAAGUUAAAAAUUGAAAUCAAGUCCUUAAAAAAUUUGGAAGGAAACUGUGCAGCUGAAAAAUAAAAUUGUUGGUAAUUACAAUCAAUUUCAUCUAAUAAUACAUUUAUUAUUUAUUAUAAAACAACUCAAAAUUUGCCGCGUAAUAUAAUAUUUGUCACUUAAACUAGUCUUUUUUUACUAAUUUGGUAAUUAAUUUUUUUUGUCUAAUUUAUUAUCUAAAAUUGACAUUUUUUUCUUAAUUCGGUAUUUUAACUUAAUAUUUUUCUUAAUUUAGUACUUAAUCUUUUUUUUCUAUUUGGUAUCCGAAUUUGAUUCUUUUUUUUAAUUCGGUAUCUAAUCUAAUUUUUUUGUUCAAUUUGGUACAUGGACUUGUAAAAUGUUUUACAAUAUACUAACAAUGUUAUACUUUUACAAGUUUAUAAAAAUAAUUAAUGUAUGAUCGACAUGUGGUAGAUAAUAUGAUAUUUUUUUUAAAAAAGUUUAAAUUACUUUUCAUUUUAUUUAUUUAUUUUACUAAUUUAAAAAUAAUGGAUUUCUUUUAUUUUGAGUUUUUAAAACUCUUGUUUUCUUGUUCAAUAUUAAUUCAUUAAGCAUAAUUCAAUGCCUAAUUUUACUAAUACUGACGAUAUUUUUGUAGCACAGCACAAAAUUUAACACUAUUAGUGUUUUGGGUAAAUUGUAUAACAUUUAAUAAGUUUAGGUUCCAAAUUAGAAAAACUGACAAAUUCAAGUACCAAUUUAGGCAAAAAAAAUUAAAUACCAAAUUAAAAAAAAAAAUCAAAUUGAGAUACACAAUUAGAAGUUACUUUCUUUUUCAUACUUUCAUAGUUAGUGUUUUUUUUUUUUAAUAUUUAUCUUUUUAAAUAUUUUAUUAUAUCUCUAUAAUAUCAUUUGUGAACUUUUACCAUAAUUAUAAAAUCUAAAAAUUUAGUAAUAAUUUACAAAAGAUUUUCUCAUUAUUUAUUAGACUUAUUUUUGAACAGACUUAUUUAUUAAACUUAAUUAAAUAAUAAGUUGUCUAAUAUUUUUUAGCUAGGUAUCUAAUUUUUUUAACCAAAUAUUUGAAGUACCAUUAUGGACCGCAUGUAGUAUUUUUAAUUAUAAAAAAAAUUAUAUUUAAUAUUAUAUUUCCUCUCUUCUCAUAUUCAUAUUCUUCCAUUCCUAUUCCUUCAUUUUCAUCCCUUUUCUCAUUCAUCUUCAUUCAUGCAGGUUGAAGGUUUUCUUUUUCUCGUUAAGCAAAUGACAUGAAAUUUGGGUUUUUAUUUUGAUGGAGGAGAACCGUUUCUGGGUUGAAAACUGUGAAUUUUUGGACUUCUAAACUUAAAAAACCUAUGGCUACGUUUUGACAUUACCAUUUGUGGAGGAGGUGUUGAAGCAAAAAUCUUUUAUAAAAAAAUGAUAGGGACUUUGAUAUUUUUCAAAUGAGUCGUUAUUUUUUUUAAUUGUAAAAAAAAAAGAAAAUUGUGUUAAUCUUUUUAAACAUCGUUUAAUACAUGAUUUAUGUAAAAAAGACUAACAACUUAAGUUUAGAUAUGUCUCACAAAAACAUAAUAGACUAUGCAUGGCCAAAAUUGUACCUAGUGAUUUUCAUCUGUUUCUCUAAACUUUUCUUUAAGAACCCUUGUUCUUUUUGGUUAGAGGAACUACUCCCAAGUUCGAACCAUUAUCAACUCAUCCAGCUUUUAGGUCUUCUAAAGUAUCCUUUACAAUAGCCAGGCCCAUAUCCCUUACAUCCUUCAAAGCCUUUUCCAAUCCUUUAUCCGCUUCAACUGCCGUUCCCUUUUUCAAUCCUUUGGAAACAUGCUCUGACUUAGUCUCAUUGAUUACCAAUUCCAAUAUUUGCUGACAUUCAUUAAUAUUGUUCCCGUUUUCAAUAUCGGUAUCCAUUAAUUCUCCAGACUCGACGUUUUCUCUUCCCUCCAAAGGAACCUCCGGCCUUGAUUGCGCCACCGAUUUAGAUUCCAAAAUGCUAUCUUCUUCAAUCUUCUUCCAUCUAGCCUUACAGAUAAAAUUGUCAUCUUUCAUCUCUGUCAGACCCCUUUCCCUAACUCUGAUCGGGAAGAAAUCAUCACCAACAACCAAGCUACUAAUUCAUCUACCAUGUUCGAUUGAGUUAAAGAUAUCAGUAGCUCUAUUUUUUGGAAAUUAUGGACUUUUGUUAAAUUUUCACUAAUAGACACCAACUUCCCCCAUAACCCAGCAACUCGACUAAAUGUUUCAUAGUUCCAACAAUGCAAUGGAACUCCUGAUACUUCGAUCCAAGUCAGCCUCUCCUUUAUCUUCAAAUUCUCCGACCAUGGCUCAAUUUUAAUGAAAUUUUCUUUCAAAUAUGACCAUUCAGUUUACCUUAACAGAUCCAUCAGUUCUUCAUCCGGUAUGUCAACCAAAAAUGUCUCCCUUGAAUCCUUCUAACAAUUAUUUCCCCAAGACCAAAUUUUGCUAUUCGAUCAUUGAGACUUUUUGAGUCACAUACCGAAUUCGAUUCGCACACCAGACAUUUCUGUAAUUUCCAUAACAUUUCAUCCUCAACAUGACUUUGCACUAUUCUUUUCUCAGUAUUCAUAACUCCUCCUGCAUUUUUUUCGAGACUUUCUUCAUUCUUAGCAUCAUGAACAGUCAGGAAAAUGAAACAGUUAGAGGUGACUUUUGGGAGUCAAACUUGGAAUUAGAAGAAGAACUGAACCAGAUGAUUCUUCGCAGGAAAAAAAAAGAAAGGCUUGAACAAGAAGAUACGGUCAAUGCAUGAAAUUCAAAACAGUUUCUUAAUGUCCAAGGAGAGAAAGAAGAGAGACAGAGGCCUGAAUAAGGAAAAAGGAAGGAAGUAUCGUAAGGAUAAUGAGAGGGUUGUAAAUUUAUCCCUUUCAGAUUCAGAUUUAAGUAACAGAAUGAGGGUACUUCUUAGGGAAGCGAAUAAUACUUGGGCAAUUGGAAAGAAAUUGGGGUUCAGUGUGUAAAGUGAUGAAGAAGAUGUCAUCGAAGAAAUUAUGAGAGCAGAGCUUCAGUAACUUUGUUUUUGAAGUUUCUGCAAGACAGGUGAUCUGGCUACAGAGGUAAAAUCGGGAGUAGUAAAAUCGUUCAGUAUUUGGGGUGUGUUAAGGAAGGUGAUUUAGGAGAUAUUUGGUUUUUAUGGUGCAUCAAAGGAGGUUCAAGACUGUAAAAUUUAUGUAAUGUCGAUUGAAUAGAGAGUAUAUCUGGUAAAUGUAAUGGAUGAUUGUACAGUAAUUUGGAAGUUUCAGAGCUGUCAAGAAGAGUGUUAGGGAUUGAUUUGUCAAAGCUACUUUGGGAUGUUUCAUGGAAUGGUAAGUGUUAUCUUGUUGUGGGAUUCAUAAGGAUUUUUUUUGUUUGGAAAAAUUAUAAAGAGGAGAUCUGUGAAAAUUUAAAAGAAAAAGGGGUUUUAAUGUUGUAAAGUGGGUUAUUUUUAUAUGUAUAAUGCUCGAUAUGAUGGUGUUUUUGUUUUGCUAGAGACUUUUUUGGUGAUUUUGUCUGAAUAGGUGGUGGAUUGUCUUAGUUAUUUCAAAGUUGAUGAUUCAUUUUCCUUGGUGUUUCUUCUUGGAUGUUUUAUGUUCAAUAUUUGUGGAUUUGCUGACGAGGAUUGAGGUGGAGUUAGCCGGUGAUUUGUUGUGUGGGUGGAGGAUCAAGGUGGACUCGUGUAUUGUUUAAGAUAUUUCUUCUUGGGUUGGUUUCAAUUCAAUAUAGCAGGGGCUGGUUGGAGUGUGUUUAUGGCUUGUGGAGGAGGGUGGUGGGUAGUUAAGGGGAUGGUUUCGGUUUAUUUUCUGGAUGGUGGUACAGAGGAGGUCCUGGAAAGGAUGAUUCUACUGGCAAUUAUAAUGGUUGCAGUGAAGGUUUGAUCUGAUUCUGAAGGGGAGUUGUUCGUGAUUUUUGAAGGAUGCUGUGGCAAGAGGAUGAGUGUCAAUUUGAUGUCACUUAUCAUGGUAAAAUUGGAAUAGCGGUUGACUUGGCUAAUGCAGAUUUGAAGCUUGUUGUUAACUUUUUUUUUUUUUUUUUAUUCUGUUGUUGCGUUCUAUUUUGGCUUGAUUGGCUGCUGUUUUAUCUUAUUUGAUCUGGUAUGGGUUGGGUGAUUCCAGCUCUUUUUAUUGUAAUCAAUUGACUGAGCAAAAAAAAAAACAGUUAUUAACUUUUAAAUACCCAACUGAUCAUCCUCAAUCUUUGUUUAAAGAAAAUACUCAUCGAACAAUAAUUAAUAUAGAUUCCCAUUAUCUUUAUUAUAGCUAAUUCUUCUUUUUUUAAAAAAAAAAAUCACAAUGCAAAAAUAACUAUUAAUAAACUUCAUAGGAAACAAAGCAUAUGUAUACAUAUUUAUCAAAGACAUUGCUAGAAAACAAAGUUUGUGCUUAAUUAUUUUAGUCAAAUUAACAACUACCUCUUCAUCGAACUCAUUCCAUAUCCCUUAAUAACUUCACUUUGAUCUUCUUUAACUUUGAAACAAUCUCUUUCAUAUGAAAACUCUCAUUUGGUAACUCUACACAACAUUCUAAGCUAAGUUGCAAAAUGGACAAGGCACAAUUCUUGACUUUUAAAUGUUCCCUUCCAAUGGUGCUCAACAACUUGGGAUCUACAACUUGAUUUAGUGAAGAUGAUAUCGAUUCUAUCACCCAACUCUUCAAGCUUCUUUCUCCUGCAAACGUUUCAUCUGUGGGCUUUUUUCUUGUGAUGAUUUCCAUCAAAAGAAUACCAAAGCUAUACACAUCACCUUUUGUCGAAACAAUUCCUUCGACUCCAUAUUCUGUGUAUGAAUUUCAAACAACAUUAUGAAUAUUCAAAGAUAUAUUGAUAAUGAAAAAUUUCUAUAAAAUAUCUGAAACAUUAUAUGCUUGCCUGUUAUAAAAGAUAUCUAGUUGCUUCUCAAAAAAGUCACAUUCAAUAUUUGAAACUCAAAAUGUUAUCAGAUAUGAUCCCUUUUUUUUAUGCAAAUGCUACACUUACAUUAGAAAUGGAAAAAUAAACAUGGAGUUUGAUUAGAACUAUCACCUGGUGCCAUAUAUCCAAAUCUUGCCAUUGUCAUGGUUUGUCUCAUUGAAACCUCUUCACAUAAGAGUUUCGCGAUGCCAAAAUCACUCAAAUGCGCAACCAUAUCUUCAUCUAAUAGAACAUUGUUGGGUUUUAAAUCACAGUGAACCACGGGUGUUGCAUUGCCGUGAUGGAGAUAUUCCAAUGCAGAUGCAACAUCUAUCACUAUGUUCAACCUUUGUAGGAUAUCCAAAUAUUGGCUGUUGGAAUACAACCAUUUAUCAAGACUCCCAUUAGGCAUGAACUCUAGCACCAAGGCUUUGAAAUUAAGAUCAUUAGAGCAACUGCUUAUUACUUUGACUAAAUUUCUGUGACGAGUGUUGCGGAGAACAUCACAUUCAACAUCAAAGCUCUUAAAAGCUCCUUCUAACUCUAACUUAAAGACUUUUAC
This 47850-nucleotide long non-coding RNA is filed under the name Gossypium barbadense (sea-island cotton). RNAcentral describes it as "long non-coding RNA (GBAR_LNC000107)". The record is from RNAcentral. Lineage: Eukaryota; Viridiplantae; Streptophyta; Magnoliopsida; Malvales; Malvaceae.